AAAAACCUAACCUAAAAUUUAUCUACAGGCAAGCCGCCGUCCGACGCCCUUUCAGCUUUUAGUUUUUUUGGUCCCAGAACCAGCAAAAAGCUUGGCUCGCCAUCUUCCCUGAAACCGGAGAGAAACCCCACUCAAAUACACUCCCUGGUCUCUGCCAUUUUCGGCACCUUCCCCUUUCCCAUUCCAGCCUUCCCAAAUCAACCAUCCUCUUCACCUGCUCUCGGUGAUCAGCUUCCCUUUAGCCCUCGGUCAAAGCAAGCCACAGUCGGCCUUCCCUCAACUUUUGCCCUUUGGUUUCUUUUUCUUCCAGCAGCGAUGGCCCCCUCCCCGUGCAGCGGCGCCGUGUUCCUCUAGCAGCAGCCCACACACGACAGCGCCCGGGCAACGCUCUCUUCUCCAUGUUCUGCAAUCGGCCUCCAGCAACAGCCAAGCCCGGCAGAACCCACCUUGGUCUAGCACAGCAACCUCCACCCUCACCUCGGAGCCGUCAGCCGUCAUGAAGAGGAAGAACUAAACUCAGAUCUGGAAAAGAAAGGAGACUGAGAACAGAUGAAAGAAAAAGAAAAGAACAGACCCGAAAGAAACAGACCUGAAGAAGGAGAAGAAAAAAACAGAUCCGUGAAGAAGUAAAGAAAAUUAAAAACAACUGCUUGUGUUUUGCUUUCUGCAGGUGACGGUGGGUGUCACCGCCGACAGGAGAAGGAAAAAGGGACGAAGCUGGUACAGACCCCCUGUUACCCGGGUUGUCUUCGCGGCGGCGCCGCCAGUGGCAUGGCGCGUGGGGGGACGCCCCAGAAACCUUCCAGCCAUUGCAGAAGGCCUUCGAUGCAAUUCUUGUAGAUUUUUGGGUUUUAUUUUGUAAUUUGUGAAUUGUAUUUGAUUUAUUAUGAGUUUUGUUUUUUUUUUACAUGUAAAAAAUAAUGUAUAAGAAAAUCAUAAUAAAAAAGAGAGAUCCUUUGUAUUUUUAUUUAUGUUAUUGAAUUAUAUAAAAAAUAAUUGUUUAAUUUGAAUAUGGUUAAAUAUUUUAAGGAUAAAUAAAAUCAUUUUAUAUUUUUUAUAAAAAUAUAAGAAUAUGUUUCUACAUGUAUUCUAGAUGAUUUAAUUAUUGAUUUAUUAAAACUUUAGAAUUUGAUUAAUAUUUUAGAUUUUUAAAUCAUAUCAAAUCACAAAACAGCUUAUUUCUGGUAAGAUGUGUUAGGGGUAUUAAUAUCUUUCCUAACUACAACUAGUCUCAUACCCGUGAAUUUUUGACAAUGAUCAUUGCAUUUAGAUUUUUUAUUAACCUUUAAUCAAAUACUAGGUGGAGACUUCUAAGACUCUAAAUCAAACAAAGGAAUGAAAAAUCACUAAUUUAUCGCCGCCAGUGACGUGCAAGAAUAACUAAUUUUAUUUUAUUAAUAUCUUCAAAGUAAGAAAUUCUAAAAUAUACAUAAUUAUUUUGAUAAAUUUUAACUUAAAAAAAACAAUAAUUCUUAAAAAAACAUGUUUUUGUAACAAAAAAGAAAAGAAAGAAACACAUUCAUUUUUUAAAAAGAAACACGUUAUGUUCACUUUUUAUUUCAAAUCAAUACAAUUUUUUUAAUUUCUAUGUUUGUUUUCUUUAUUUUUUAUCCAAUAAACUUUAUAGCUAUUAGAAAAAAAAUAUUCUUUUUAAAUUAAAAAAAAAUAUGAAAAAAGAAUUUUAACUAAAAAUAUAUUUUUUUCCAAGAAUUCAAAUAACUAUUAUGAAAAAAUAGUUUUAGUUACCCUUAAUGUAACUUUAUAGCUUACGGUAUAAGCUAGUGCUUGGGAUUAUAAUGCAAACAAGAAACUAAACUGUAAUGUACUAAAAGAGAAUUCAUUUUUAUCUUCAUACAAGUAAAUAAAAAAUAAAAAAACAACCAUGUUAUAGGUUAAAUAUUUACACUUGCAUUUAUUUUUUUGUUUUCUACAAAAAAACCCAACUGUUUCAGCCUUUAAUUAGCAUGAACAAAUAUUAUUUAUGUGAUUUAUUAAUUUAAAUAUUUUUAAUUCAUUUUUUUAAAAAUAAAAAUAUCAUCUUUUCAGUUUCUAAAUUAAAAAUUUCAUGCUAUCAAAACACAUGUCCACAUAUUCAUAGCUUCUUGUUUUUUUUAUUAUUAUUAUUAUUAUUUAUUACAUUACAAUUUAGUUUGUAAUGUUACCCGUAAUUAACUAGAUGGUAUCUAAUGUCUCGUCUCUUUGUAUCUCAAGGGCAGUCUAGUUUGUCAGGUCUGACUUGUUAUCCAAUGGAGAUUAUCCAAAGAAAAUAAAUAAAUCAUAAUGUCAGAGUUUUUGACUACGCACUUGUGAUGCACAUCGAUUACAAAAUAAAAUAUAAAAAAAUGACAAUUUGAGAAUCAAACACAAUUUUUUUGAUAUAAUACAUAGGAGUUUUAUUUGAUAUAAAAUUUACAUUGAUUGUUUCAGUAGCAUAUCUAAUCUUUUAUAUUCUUGCGAAUGAACUUAGGCCCCGUUUGUUUGCAGGAAAGUGAAUUCCUUUUGGAAAAUGAAUUCCGGGGAAAGUGAAUUUCUGGAAAGUAAAUUCCGGGAAAGUAUUUUAUGAUGUUUGGUAGUGUUAUGGAAAAUGAAUUGGAAAAUAAUUUAUUAAUAAAUUAAUUUUUUUUUUCAAAUUUAUCUAAUAUAUAUAAAAUAUUUAAUAUAAAAUAUUUAAUCACUUACAAUAAAAAAAAAUAAAAUCUAAAAUGUAUAAUGAUGAAUUUUUUUUAUUAUAUUCUAUAUUCAUACAUAGCUUAUUUUAUAAAAUAUAACUAUAUAUAUCAUAUCAUAUUAUAAAGAAAUAAGCUUGUGAAAUAUUUUUUAUUAUUCUAUGAAACCAUUUAUAAUUUCAUUACGUACGAAAUACAUCCGACAAAAACUAUAGUUUUAAUAAUAUUUUUAGCAUGUAAUAAAAUUGGAUAAAAUAUUAAGGUAUAAAAUUCACUCUAAACUAUUUUUUUUAAAAUGUUAAAAAAAUAGCACACUUAAAAAUAAAAAUAAAAAGUCCCCGCAGGCAAGUGAACAGUGCACUAAAACUGCGCUGUUCACUAUUUUUUUAGUGAACAGUGUAUGCGAUACACUGUUCAUGUUAAUUGCACUGUUCAUUGAACAGUGCAAUUAACAUGAACAGUUACAGAAAAAACAUGACAACGCAGUAUUGGCCCACAUUAGGAAAGUGUUUUUCGAGAAUUAAAAGCGGAAAACACUUUCCUUAUGUUAAAAUUAACAUUUUCCUUUGACUGGAAUUACAUUUCCUUUGAUUCACUUUCCAUGUAUUGACAAACAUGGGAAAGUGAGUAAAAUGGUUUCUAGGAAAGUGAAUUCCUGGAAACAAACGGGGCCUAAGUAUUUUAGAUUUUGCAUGACAAUUAAACCGAAGGCUCUUGGGUUUGUCAUGACCACUAAAACCAAGAUCCUAUAAAAGUAUUUAAAAAAAUAAUAAUUAAGAUUUAAGUUUAAAAUAUUUUAAUGAUAAUUUAAAUAAAAGAAAGAGGGCUCUCUUCCACCUUUCCUUUCUUUCACAUCUUGAUUCGGAUUUUAUAGUGGUCCAUGGUCGGCCAUUUCCCCUUGACCUCGCUGUCCAUGGCAACUUCUUCUAUCGUACCAUUUCUUUUUAGCGGUCUUAUGUCAUGGUCAUGCACAGGAUAUAUCAGUCAAGUUUUGUCCUUGAUAUGCGACUCCCUCGAGUAUAUAUUUAUCUGCCUUCUUUUUCUAUAUCGUAAAAAGGAAACCUUUCACUAAAAGAGCUUUAAGUUAUGAUAGUUUGGUUUUUUAUUGAACAAAAACUAGCAAAACUUGUUUUGUUUUUUUCGAGUUUUUAUGGGAUUUUACUGACUUUUCCUAGGUUUUUUUAAAUUUUUUUUUUUUAAGUUUUAUGGAUUUUUAAAAAACUUUUUAUAUAUCUAGUUAUUUUGAGGCCAAGUUAAUUAACAAUGCAUGCAAGGAGAAAAGUUAAUCCACUAAAGUUAUCAAAAGCAACGUAAUCUAAUUCAACUACCAGUCAAUAUAUCAUAUGGAUUCAACAAUUAUUUAUUGAACUAUCCUGGAUUGGGUUUAAUUUUUUGGUGAAUCAUCACAUACAUAAUAUAUAUAAGCUUUUCCUGUUGCCAUUGAUUAACUUUUAACGUCCAAUACAUGGACAAAAGAUCUGAAAUUCUUUGAACAGAAAAGCUGGAAUUUAUGCAGUGACAGUGAUACAAAAUCAAGCUAUUAUACUUUACAAGUACAAACUUGAUUAAUAAACAAACCAUCCAAGCAAAUUGUACUUGGAAAAUAAAUGUAUCUGUCCCAACUAGUAGUUGUGUCUAUAUCCUUGUAAAUGAGCCUAAGACUAAAUACAGAAGGAAGAAGAAGAUCAAACCAAUGAGACAACUAAUGUUGAAAACAAGCCCUACUGAAGGUACUAGAACUGCGUAUUUGCGAAUGCGAUAAUCAUUGUCCCCAUGCCAAUUAUGGUUAACAACAUUGCAACCGCAAAUAAUCUUAGAGUGGUUUUCAAAUUCAUUUCUUCAUCCUUAUUCAUGUCCAAAUCUUGAAUCAACACCGUCAAAAAAUGAAUAAUUAGAUACAACAGAAAUAGAGAGCAUCAUUAACAUUGCAUCUAAUAUGACAAAUACUAUAAAAAUAACUUUUUUUAGCUAGAAUUGCAAUGCCUCUGUCACUCUUGUAACUGCCAGGUAGGAUAAAUGGUGCUACAAAUGUUAAUGUUGCUAUCAAUGCUGUAACUACUAGAUGAGACUCUCUUGCUUUACUUAAAGCAUCCUCUUCCUCUUUGUUUUCCUCCUUCUCUCUUCUCAAAACAAAGCGCCCGACCAAAUGGUCCCCUGCCAACAUCAAAGGAUUCUAGGAUCGUUUUCUGCAAAAUAUUUAGGGUAAAAUAUCAUAGAUAUCCAUUAUCUUUUUCUAUUUAAUUCUCAGAUUAUUUAAAUUUUAAUUAAUUGUUUUUUUUCAUUCAAUUGUUCUGCUUUUUGUUUUUUUAUUGAAUAAUAUGUUUUUAUAAAGCAGUUACAUGCGAUUGAUAUGCAUAAUCUGUUAUCGUAGAUGAAAAACUUAACAAAAUCAAUAAAAUAACUUGAUUUCAAAUAAAAAAGAUUAUUAAGUUAUUUAGAUGAAUUCAUUUUUAUGUUUGGUAUUGCAAUACGAAUGGUUUUUAAAAGGAAAACCUUUCUUGAAAAUUAAGUUAUAUUUUUUUUUACUGGAAAGUAUUUUUCAUUGAUUAACUUUUUAAAUAGCAAACAAACACAAUAAAGUUUGAAAAGUAAUUUUUAAAAAAAUAAUUAAAAUAAUAUAUCAGCAUGUUAAAAUGAUUUAAAAAUAUUAAAUAUAAUUUAAUUUCAAACUUUAAAAAAAUUUGAAAUUUAAAAAAACAUGCUUCACACAUCUAAGACUUGAAGAUAAGAAGAUUAUGGUCCAGCUCUAACCAUAAGAAAAACGAGUGAAGACAGAAAAGAUGCAAGUGGAGCAGAGAUAUUUAAAUUGUUUGUGAAACUUCUAGAAUCAUUUUUAUUCUAAUCUCUCACAGAACUCAGACAGCUUCCUCUGCUUUAUUUAUUUAUUUAUUCAUAUUGAUGAAUUGGUAUAAAUAGGCUUACAAGCCUAGCUAGUAAAUGGAAAUAGCCAAAAUAGUUACUUCUAUCAACAACCAUUGUCAACAAACAAACAGUCAUACAAGAUGAAUUCCUCUGAUCAACAAAUGAAUAGCAUCUCUUACAUGGAACCAAAAUUGUACAAAGCUGCAGAAGCAGGCAACAUCAACCCAUUGAAGGAUCGUCCUCCAACUUCUCUCAUUGAGCUAUUGACUCCACAAAAAAACACAAUUCUUCAUGUUUACUUCGAAAACCAACGUAGAGGAUGGAGAUCCACUGAUUUUGUUGGCCAAAUUAUUGAUAUGUGUCCACAACUGCUAUUGCAAGCCAAUACUAAAGGCGUUCCAAUGCAGUGGAAGUCCUCAUUGACCGCGCAGAAGCAAAAAAGAUGUUGAGGAUGACCAAUGAAGAGCAAGAUACAGCGUUGCAUGUGGCAGCUCGAAAUAUCCAAGCCCAAGUGGUGGAAAUAUUGACAAAAGAGGACCCUGAGUUUUCAUAUUCCGCCAAUGUUCAUGGAGAAUCUCCACUUUAUAUUGCUGCCAAUAUGAGGUUUGUGAACAUUUUUUUAGUCUCAAACAGAGUUUGAUACCGAUUCGAUACUAUAUGUGACCAACAUCUUUUUUUUUUCUUUUAAUAUAUACUAGAUUAAUCAAUUUUUUACUAAUCUAUUUAUCAAUCUAGAAUACUAUCGUUUUAAGAUUAUAUAAAUGUAAUUGUUGCAUGAUUAAUUUUAAUUUGUUCAGCUUUAUAAUGUUUAAGUAAAUCUGUUUUUAAAAUUAUCAUAAGAGAUAUUAGAAAAGCAAUGCUUCUAUAAUAAUAGGAUUUUACCUGGUUAUUUUUUUAUGCUAUGUAUGUUCUUGAACUCGAGACAUAUUAAUUCAAUAUGAAUAAGUUCACUUAUCUCCCUAAUUGCUUUUUAAGAACAAUAAAAAAUAGCAAAAUUUAAUGGUUUUUAAUUCUGUUUUAUUGGACUUAAAAUCUUGCUACAUAAGUAUUUAUUGGACUUAAAAUGUUAAUAAAAAUCACAUAUAUCUAAUUAUGAUAUAUUGCUGCCAAUGUAAGGUUUAAUUGGAUGUUUAAAAGACAUGAAGAAAAUAGAAAAAAAGUGAUCGACGAAAUUGAGUAAUUGCAAGUCAGUGGAAUAUUGUGGUUCUCAUGGCAGAACCGCACUACACGCGGCAGCCAUGCAUGGUGAUCAUGGUAAGAUUUUAUUCUGAACUGUAAAUCCUUGAAUUCAUAAAUUAUUAUCGGAAACCAUAACUGUGAGAAGUGUGUUCUUAUCUUAAAUUAUUUCUUAUCUGUUUGCCAUUUUAUUGUACUCAUUUAUUUUAUGUUUCUUAAAAAAAAUCUUAUUUUAACCUUUAGGAUAUUGUUCUUUUCAUUUAUUGUUCAUUUGUCAAAUUCUUCGUUUACUCUAUCACAUUUAAUAUUUGAUAUAUAUAGAAGUUAAUAAAGGGGUAAAAAAACAAAAAUAUUCAUUUUAUGUUUGUUAAAUUAAAGGUUAAAUUGUAUUUAUUACUUACAUAAUUCUUUGGAAGAUAUAUACAAGGUAAAGAAAAUACAUAUUAAGAAGACAAUGAAUUUCCUAGUCUAUUUAAUUAAGGACUUAUUUGCAUGAUUAUAUAUAAGAUUUUAGGACCAAAAUGUUCUUAUAUACGUUUGUAUGUAAGGAAUCUAUAUGACAUGUAUGUGUGGGCGAAUCAUUUCCAUAUUAUUAUUGAACAUAAAAAAAAAAAGAACACAAAUGAAUUAUUAGAUUAGUAAGACUACUGGAUUCUACGUUAAAAUGAUAAUUUAAAGGCUCAUAAUAAUAUUGAACUUUAUUCUUGUUGUUUAUAGUUUUCUUAAAAACUUUGGUCAUCUAGUUUAAAUGAGGUUGGAGUUGUUGACAUUUCCAUAUUAUUAUUUUAAAUAUGACCAAAUAAUAAUAACCAAUAAAAAAAAAUGAUGCAUAAACAAUAUUGAAUAGCGACUAUAAGAACCCAAGAACGUAGAAAGCAAGAAAGGGCAUUUAUAAUACAAUUAAAGAGAGAAAAAUGCCAAAUUAAAUAUUAACUUAUCACUAAAUUAGUAGCGUAGAUUACGCAUUAACCAUAAUAUUAUUCAUAUAUUACCUAAUAUGUACCAUAUUUUUUUUAUGGUUUAUUGCAGAGACAGCAAGAAAGAUAUUAAAAAGCGACGCGAGUUUGACGAGAAGAACCGACGAUGACGGGUGGUCACCACUUCACUACGCUGCCUUUUUCCCUACUUUAUUGCCAGGUUCUCUAACAGUAAAAGUAUUACUAGAACAUGAUGUGUCCGCAGCCUACAUUGUUGAUUCAGAGAAGAGAACAGCCCUUCACUUGGCCGUCGUUCGAGGCAAUGUGGCAGCAGUGGGAGCGAUUAUGAACACUUGUCCAGCUUGUUGUGAACUAGUGGAUAGCGGAGGUCGGAAUGUCCUUCACUAUGCUGCCUUAACUCUAAAAGGAGCACUUACAUCUAUGUCUUUCCCUCGAUUGAUUCCUAAAUUUGACAAACUUAUAUACGAGAAGGAUAACAAUGGAAACACACCAUUGCAUCUAUUUGCUGCUUUCGGCAGUUAUCCCCAGAAGUUUCUGAGUAGUGAUUGUAGACAUGUGUACAAGAAGAUGUGUGGCCUUAACAAGCAAAACCUCAGCAUUGAUGACAUCUUGGAACGAAAUUUUCCUGAAGAAAAGGUAAUUCCCUCUAUUUGAUUUUUUAACGAGUCGCACUCGUACACGCGAAAAAGUCUUUGCAUUUGAAAAAGCUCGCUAACUUACCAAAAAAAAUUAAAUUUAAAUUGUCAGAGGAAUGAUGUAAGAUUAUUUUCAUAACUAUCAAAGGACGCAUCAAGAGAAUUUAUAAUAUUCAUUCAAUCUUGUUAAAGAAAAAAAAACUUCAACUCUAACAAUAAAUACGUAUGCACCUUUAAUAAAUCACAUCAAUCAAACAUAAAUUCACUUCGUUAUUCUCUUUUUUUUUUUAAAAAUAAAAUAAAAAUAGAAUAGAAAUCCUUUUGUCAAUAUAACAAAAUUAUACCUUCAACAUCAACACUUAUAAUUGAUUAACACUAUUUGCUUUGUCCCUAGACUGAUGUUGGUUUCUUUAUUUGUUUGUUUUAAGAUGUGUUUGAUAUUAUGGUAUAAAAUAUUUUUAAAAAUUAUUUUUGUUUUGAAAAUAUAUUAAAAAUAAUUUUUUAAUUUUUAACAUUAAAAAAUACUAAAAAGUUUCAUUUGAUUUUUUUUUCCAGCGAGACACUUUUAAAUCAUACCUAAAAACAGUUUAAAAUUAAAAAACAAACAGCCCUCUCGUAGCAACAAAAGCAUUAUAUAUUGUUGCUAGCUAAAAGAAACAAAAUUACUUGAUUUCAAACUCGCUGGUUAUGAUAUCAAACAAAGGUUGAGAGUCUACAGGUGAUAAAGGAAAAGAAAGAUUCGUUUAAUUUCAUUGCCGAAACUUGUUGCAGAAAGAGAUUUUGGAAUCAUUGAAAGAUGUACGGAGUGGACUGCUUCAACGGCCCAUAGCUAUGCUGACACUAGACGACUUCUUUAUUACCGACAGUGGAAUGGACGCUCUUAUAGUUGUAGCGGCACUCGUAGCAACAGUAACAUUUGCAGCUGCUUUCACCAUGCCUGGCGGUUACAAGAACGAAAAAGGCACUCCAGUUCUUCUUAAAAAUACUGCUUUUGCAGUCUUUGUUAUAUCAGAUGCAGUAGCAAUGGUUCUCUCAACUUCUGCUCUCUUCAUGCACUUUUCUAGGGCACUGCUUGGAAAAAGAGGUCAAGUGGAAGACGAUAUAAAAGAAACCUUCUCUUAUAGGACAUCUACUUUAACCAUAUGUGCCAUCCCAGCAAUGGUCAUCGCAUUCAUCACAGGAAGUUAUGCAGUGCUAGCUCCAUCAUUAUGGCUUGCAAUCACGACUUGUUUCAUUGGUGUAGCCUUCUUCUUCUUUGCGUGCCAGGCAUUCAUAGUUCAAUUCCGCACCCUCAUAAAAUACUGAAAAUAAACACUUCACAGCAGACUUUAAAAGAGUCUGAUAUUGAAGAAGAUUAUUGAUUCUCAUUUAGCUCGUGUUAUAAACUAUUAUAGCAUGUAAUUAUAUAGGAAAUAUUGUAGUCAUAUUCUUAUGUGGUAAUCUCCACCUUUACUAUUGUAUAUUGCCCUACUCAUAUAUAUAGAAAGGGUUGGCUAACCUAUUAGGUUAAGCCUCCUAAUCAUUCUCAACUUGGUAUCAGAGCCUCCUAAUAUUUUCUCUCUUUGCAGCCGGCCCUAAUUUUCUUCCCCAUGGACUCUCCUCCUGCUGCCGUUGAUCCAAUCUCCCCCUCCACCGGUGAUGCAUCAUCACCGGCCAGCCCUCUUCCUGCUGCUGGCUCUGCCGUUCCUCUGCCUCUUAUGGGAACACAAUCUACAAUGGUUCCUCUAUCAAACACCCACCAUGUUGUGUCGUUGAAACUUACGAACACAAAUUAUCUUUAUUGGAGAAUGCAGAUGAAGCCAUAUCUCCUUGGUCAAGGUGUUUUUCAGUUUGUUGACGGCUCCUUGCCGUGUCCUCCAUCUCAUAUGAUUGAUGCUUCGGCUGAUUCUUCUUCUGCCAUCAGCCCCUCUUUUCUUCGUUGGAAGCAACAAGAUCAACUUAUUUUGAGUGCUCUACUCUCCUCUCUUUCCGUGGAUGUGCUGCAUCUUGUAGUCGAUUGUUCUACUUCACAUUGUGUUUGGCGCACGCUUGAGAAGGCACUUGCCUCUCCAUCUAAUUCGGAUCAUGCAACUACAUGGCUCCUUUCAAGACCUUCGGCAAGGUGAUGCAUCGGUUAGUAUGUAUAUGCAGCAAGCCAAAUCGUUAUUUGACGAAUUGGCUGCUGCUGGUCGCCCAAUGUCCCUUGAAGAUUUCAAUCUCUAUGUGUUUCGUGGACUUCGCGGUGAGUUCAAAGACUUGGUAACUAGUCUCAUAACCAAGGCUGAACCGCUAUCGUAUGCUGAUCUUCAUAGCCAUCUCCUUACCCAUGAGUUUUUGCACAAAAACUCCUUUCACUCCAUGGCUGUCGGUUCAUCCUCUUCAUCACUGCUGUCUUCUUCUUCUCUGCCGCAGCAGCCACCAUUGCUGCCAACACCUCCGAAUUCUGCUUAUUAUGCCAUGACUAAUCACAGCCGAAACAGGGGACGUUCUAGAGGUAAUUGGCGCUCAAACACCAACCGAUUUCAGGCCCCAAACAGAGGUCACUCCGCUGCAGAUUGGAGGCAAAAUCAGUGGCAGAACAGGCGCACCUCUGCUGCAGAUUUUCGGCCAAAUCAGGGGCAGUGGUCUGGACAUGUGCGCUGCCAAUUAUGUUCCACUCCUGGCCAUUCAGCUCUUCAAUGCUAUCAGUUUCGCAGCAGCACACAGCAGCCCUCUGCUCACCUUGCUGUUGCGAAUGAUUCUGCUGCAACGACUUGGUUUCCCGACACCGGCGCGAAUCAACAUGUGACGCCUGAUCUUGCAACUCUAACUGAUUCUGCUCCUUAUCUUGGUAAUGAUUUCUUGCAUGUUGGUGAUGGUAAGGCCCUUGACAUAUCCCAUGUUGGACAUACUACUUUAUAUUCCCCCAAACGCUUGUUUACAUUAACUAAUGUUCUUCGUGUGCCUCACAUUACCAAACCGUUGUUAUCUGUUCAGAAAUUCUGUCGUGAUAAUCAUGUUUAUUUUGAAUUUCACGAUUCUGUGUUUUAUGUGAAGGAUCUCGUCACCAAGGAAGUUCUUCUUUCCGGUCGGAGUCAUGAUGGUCUUUAUGUUCUCUCCGAGUCCUCGGCUACGUCAGUUCCUCAAGCUUUUUGGUCUCCUUGCAUUUCCGCGACUGCCGACUUGUGGCAUCGUCGUUUAGGUCAUCCAACUCCUCGCAUUCUAAAUUUGUUAGUUUCUGAUAAUAAAAUUAUUUGUACGUCUAAACGAUCUUUUACUCAAUGUCAAGCAUGUCCAUUAGGCAAGUCAUCCCGUUUGUCAUUACGACCGACGGGUCACAAAACUUCUACCCCACUUGAAUUAAUUUUUAGUGAUGUUUGGGGCCCUGCUCCAAUGUUUUCUUCUGAUGGUUUUCGUUAUUUUGUUAUCUUUGUUGAUGCGCACACUAAAUAUAUCUGGUAUUAUCCGCUUGUUGCGAAAUCUGAUGUAUUUUCCACGUUUCAACGUUUUCAGACACUUGUUGAGCGUCAGUUUUCUCUUAAAAUUAAAUCUGUUCAAACUGAUUGGGGUGGUGAAUAUCGUAAAUUAAAUACAUUUUUUCAAACAAUUGGUAUUCAUCAUCGAUUAAUUUGUCCUCAUACUCAUGAACAAAAUGGCACAGUUGAACGUCGUCAUAGACAUAUUGUCGAAACUGGCCUAACCCUCUUAGGCCAGUGUAAUGCCCCAUUGCGUUUUUGGAACUAUGCUAUGGAAUCAUCGGUCUAUCUUAUUAAUCGCAUGCCUACUCCUGUUCUUCAAAAUAAAUCUCCUUUUGCGUGUCUGUUUCAUCGCACUCCUGAUUAUAAUUUCUACGCACUUUUGGGUGUCUUUGUUUUCCAUUUUUACGUCCAUAUCAUGCUCAUAAAUUAGAUUUUCGGUCUUCUCCUUGUGUGUUUUUAGGCUAUAGCUCGUCUCAUCUUGGUUAUCGGUGUCUUGAUUUAGAGUCUGGUCGUGUCUAUGUCUCCCGUCAUGUUCGUUUUCAUGAAUGUGUCUUUCCUUUUAAAAAGUCUGAACAGGUAACAACACCCCCGGUUCCCCCCACUCCACCUACCUAUCUUCCAUCACUGCAACCCCCUUCCUGUUUUCAGCCUCUUCCUUCCCAACUCGGCAAAACACACCCUUUGCCCCUUGCCGCAACCCCCCAGCUUGCUCCCCUGCCCGUUGAUUUAGCCGACCCUGCCUCACCACCCCACACAGCCAUACUAUCACCACGUGCUUGUCUUUCCAAUGAUUAUUGUGCAGGAACAGGUUCUGACUUGCAGGAUUCAGUAGCGGCACAACCCAGCACCUCCCCGGCUUCACCUCCUGGUCUGCAACUUUGUGUUGAUCUCUCCUCUUAUCCUCUUCAGCACAUUCCAGGUACAGGUGCUGCUACUCCAUGUCCAGCUGCUCCUAAACACCCCAUGGUUCUUCGUCCGAGACAGCCCAAGACAGCGCUGAUCACCACCACGGCAGCCACCUCUGCUGCUUCCUUCAGUCGGGUAACUUCUCCUCCCUCGCAUGAGCCACUUAUUUUUCCUGAUGCUAACAGAUAUGAGGCGUGGCAUAAUGCUAUGCGAGAGGAAAUUCAGGCCUUACGCGCAAACAGAACAUGGACUUUAGUGCCAUUUCAUCCGUCCAUGAAUGUUGUUGGUAGCCGAUGGGUCUACAAAAUUAAACGCAGAUCUGAUGGUAGCAUUGAGAGGUAUAAGGCGCGCCUGGUUGCUAGGGGCUUCACUCAGCAAGAAGGUAUUGAUUACUCAGAAACUUUUAGUCCUGUUAUCAAACAGGCAACAGUCCGCUUAGUGUUCUCCAUUGCAGUUUCGAGUGGUUGGAAAAUUCAUCAGCUUGACAUUCAUAAUGCAUUUCUAAAUGGAGUCCUUGAUGAAGAGGUUUACAUGAAACAACCUCCAGGUUUUGUUGAUUCUGCACUCCCAGGUCAUGUAUGUCGAUUGCAUAAAUCUCUAUAUGGGUUAAAACAGGCUCCGCGGGCUUGGUACACUCGUCUGAAUGAUUUUCUAUUAUCCAUUGGUUUCCGUGCUUCUAAAGUGGAUACCUCAUUGUUUAUCUUCUCGGUUGGUAGUGAUAUUUGUUAUCUUUUGGUUUAUGUUGAUGAUAUUCUGCUUACGGGUAAUAAUGGAACUCUGCUACAACGACUCAUUCAGCUACUGAGCUCAGAAUUUAAACUUCGGGAUUUGGGUGAUGUUCAUUAUUUCUUGGGUAUUGAAGUGCAGUGUACUGGUCUGGGACUUAUGCUUUGUCAACAUAAAUAUACACUUGAUAUCCUCACACGAGCUGGUAUGUUAUCCUGUAAACCAGUUGAUACUCCUAUUUCGGCAUCCAAAGCCACCAUUAUGCCAUCCAUUGUUUUCUGAUGCUACUCGUUUUCGGCAACUUGUUGGUGCUCUCCAAUAUCUCACUUUCACACGCCCGGAUAUUUGCUUUGCUGUUAACCGGGUCUGUCAAUUUAUGCAUGCUCCUACAGAAUCCCAUUGGGCUGCCGUGAAACGCAUCUUGCGUUAUCUCCGUGGUACGGCAUCACAUGGUUUACAUAUUACUCGCAGCUCUUCCUUUGCUUUACACGGUUUUACAGAUGCAGAUUCGGCAGGUAGUAUUGAGGAUAGAAAGUCUACAGGUGGUUAUCUUGUGUUCUUUGGUCAGACGCCAAUUUCUGGAAAUCGAGUAAGCAACGCACUGUUGCUCGUUCUUCGACGGAAGCUGAGUACCGAUGGCACGGCUGAAGUUAUCUGGCUUCAGUACUUGUUAACGGAUCUUCAGAUUCCGGCUCCUUCUGCUCCUAUUAUCUGGUGUGACAACCUUGGUGCCACGUAUUUGUCCGCAAACCCUAUAUUUCAUGCUCGCACAAAACAUAUUGAGAUUGAUUAUCAUUUUGUCCGAGAUAGAGUUGCGAAGAAGGAGAUUCAGAUUCGUUUUAUUUCCUCUCAGGAUCAACUUGCCGAUGUCUUCACUAAGCCACUUCCUGCUGCUUCAUUUACUGCUUUUAGAUUCAAGCUUCGGGUUGAUCCUCCACCCUCAGCUUGAGGGGGCGUAUUAUAGCAUGUAAUUAUAUAGGAAAUAUUGUAGUCAUAUUCUUAUGUGGUAAUCUCCACCUUUACUAUUGUAUAUUGCCCUACUCAUAUAUAUAGAAAGGGUUGGCUAACCUAUUAGGUUAAGCCUCCUAAUCAUUCUCAACUUAAACUAUCUUCUCGUCAUCUUCUUGAUGGCAUCAGCUGUAACGUUGGCUUUAUUUAUCAAUAUAUUUUACCUUGCUUUUCACGAGUACAAUGAUCGAAAAAUUCAAUUUUGGCACUUGGAAAAUGCUAACACCUUCAAUAUAGAGACCAUAGAAUGAAGGCUAACAAGUUCACCAUUGAUUCUAGAUGAAUGGAAUUAGCCAUAAUUUUCGAAGGACUUGAAUUUCUAAUAUAUAUAUAUUGAUUAGAAUUUCCAUUAAUUGCUGAAUGGUAAUUCAGACUUCAAUUUCUACACAUUGCAACUUCAUUCACCUUCCCAACUUUUUGUUUAACAGAAAUCAUUCUCAUGAAAUGCAAAACAUUCUUUUACGAGAACAAAAAUAAAUAAAUAAAGUAACAAAGGAAAAUUUUACGACAGGCACAAGAAAACCAUAAUAAAAAAAGGAGGAAAAUGGGUAUAUAAAACAGCAGAACAUAAACAUUUUGAGAAAUUAAUGAAUUAAUGAUGUAGUGCUAUGAUUUAACUCCGAUCUAGUGGGUUAUGAAGGACAUGAAGCUGAUGACAACACCCAAUGUCUGAGUUUUUCAGACCCUAAUUCCACUGACAAGGUGUAAAGAGUAGUUAAAACUCAAUUUGAACAACGGAGACAAAAAAAUAAAAAUCAAUUUAUGUUUAUAUUUAGUGUGUUUUAAGACUAAAUAAUUUGUUUUAUUUUGCAUUUGGUUAACAUUAGUCAAGACACAAGUAAAAAAUAAUUAGUGGAAGAAUUAAUCUAAUUUGAACCCGAUCAAAAAUUCAAGUUGACCUACUAUAAAGUUUACCUGAGAUAAAACACAAAUAAAAAAUUUUAAUUUGUUUUUUAUUAAGAUAAAACAAGUAAUCAAAAUCUUGUCUUAUUUAUAUUGAGUUUUAAACAAUUAAAAUAAUUAUAUUUAUUUUUAUAUUCACUCAGAUUAACAAUGAACAUAAUGUAUGAAUCAAACCUUAUAUCGAAAUCGACUAUUAUUUAAAUUUUUAAAUUAUAAUAAUUAUUAUUUUUAUUUUUAUAUUAAUAUAGAUCAACCCGGUAAAUUCUUAUGCAAAAAAUUUAACAAUCUAGCUUAUUCUACUCCUUUUAAUAAACAAAUAUUUCUUCACUGGAAUGGCCUUGAUAGAACAAAAAAUAAAUACUCCAAAAAACUUCACAAAAAGAUUAUACCGUCCAAUCCAUUUUUACAGCAUAUCAAAAACACUACAUAAAUUUCAAAAUCAAAUUACCUCAGUUAAAUCCAUUAAUAUCAUCGUAAUGUAGCUUCCACCAAGUAGGUUCUCCUUGAUCAUGGUUAUUAUCAUCAUCCUGUGCAUUCCUCCAUCUUUAACCACCAGACAGGAGCAGUUUUCAGUGAUGAAAACCCUCAUGGUUGUUCUAUAAUGUGAACAACGUAGUAUAAUUAUUCUUACUAUAUAUGUACUUAUACUGCUUUGUUUUUCGUGUACUAAUUUCCUUUUCACUUUAUGUUUUGUUAAACCUUGUUCACAUGAAGCUAUAAAAUAUAGACAAGAAAUGCCUUUUUUUCCUUAUCAUUUUGCAACUUAUAAAUUGUUUUAUUCUGAUUUGUGCCCUAGGCAUGGUAUUGUCUGCUGAGAAAACCAAGCUCCAUUGAUCUUUUCUUUUUACUAAAUUAAAUCGCCACCGAUUGCAAUUAAAAUUCUGAUCUACAUUAAUAUCAUUCGGAUAGGAUUAGGAUGUACUCCACCACAAACUCUAAUAAAUCUUUUCCAAAGAAGAGAUGCCUUGGAAUGUUUUAGAAAGGGGAUAAUAUUCUCAUAUGCACCCCUAACUUAUUCGUUAUUACCCUUUCUGAGUUGUGUCCCUAAACUACAUAAUUAAGCAAUUAGGUCCAGAAUGUAUCUAGGAAUUAUCAAUUUAAUCUUUGUAAAGGGAUUGUGAUAGGUAUUUAUGGGCUAGGUUUUGGUAUUAUCUAUAUUUGAAUUCAAACCCAAAAUAUUAUAAGUCAAAAUUUGACGGGUGUAAAUUUUGAAUACCAAAAUCUAAUUCAUUAAGGUUUUAGUUAUCGAUUUAGAUAAUUAUUAUCUAAUUGAUACAGUAAGGUUUGUGAAAACUUGAAGUUUUGAUAUGUAUAUAAGAAUCUAUCACAAGCACACUAUUUGGAUAACUUAACAUAUAUUUUUAUAAAUUGGUACUGAGAUAGCACUAGGUUUAAGAAGAUGCAUGGCCAUGCUAUACUACAGUACGUAGUGGCUUUAAACCGAAAUAAUAAGAGAUAAUUUGAUGGUUGGUUGAGAUUAAUUUUUUUUUAAAAGAUUCUACAAGUUUUUUUUUUGUGGAAAGCCAUUAUGUCAUUCAUUGGACUAUUAGAUCUUCAAAAAUUAGUCCUAAAAGUUGCUACUUAGACUAAUUUUGUUGUUUUUUUCUAGAUUGUUUUGGAUUUAUUAUUUUAUUUAAGAUUUUAUGUUAGUUUUCUUUAUGAUUUUGAAUUCUAAAUUCUUUUUAUAGAGAUAGGGUUUUCUAGUUUAUUUAAACAUCUUGUAAACAUUUUAAAAAAAACUUAAUAUAUACUUAAUUUUUAGAGAAUAUAACCGUAUUUCAAAUUCAAAUCUACAAUUUAUUUUCUUAUAAAAAUUCUAUUAUCAAAAUCUUGAAGUGGUGGGGGUAAUGACUGCCUCAUAGUAUACAUCAUAAGUGGAUCAGAAAGGGACUCAGACAAGUGUUUUUUUUUUAAUCAAAAUUGAUGUCUUUUUCGGUUUCACUUGCAAACGGAACACCUAUCUCCAAAACCCAUGUUUGCAAAAAUGUAUGCUAUGCGUCAAAAGAUGAAAUCUAUGUGCGAUAGGAUUAGCAAUUUACCUGAUGCACUCCUCCUUCACACACACUCUUUUCUGAGAUGCCAAGGAGUUUUGAUUGGAUACAUUGUUCACUCUUUAUUUCAAAUCAAUUCAAUUUUUCUAAUUUCUAUUUUAGUUUUCUUUAUUUUUAUCCAAUAAACUUUAUUUCUAUUAGAAAAUAUUUGUUUUUCAAAUUAAAAAAAUUAACAUUAAAAGAAAAUUUUAACUAAAAAUAUAUUUUUUUCCCGAGAAUUCAAAUAACUAUCUUUAUUAAUGAAUAUUCAUUUUUAUUUUUAUAUAAUUAAAUAAAAAACAAAAAGCAACCAUGUUAUUAGAUUAAAUAUUUGCAUUUGCAUUUUUUUUAUUUUUUACAAAAAAAAAAAACCCAACUAUUUUAGCCUUUAAUUAGAUUAACCAUUUGAUUUAUUAAUUCAAAUAUUUUUAAUUCGUUUUUUUUUUUUGAAAAUACAAACACCAUCAUUUCAAUUUUGAAUUUAAAAAUUUUAUGCUAUCAAAACACAACUCCACAGAUUCAUGGCUUCUAGUUUUUUUUGUUUUACAUUACAACUUAGUUUGGAAUGUUACCCGUAACUAGUUGGUAUCUAAUGUCUUUAACUGUUUCCCCAUGAAUUUGUAUCUCAAGAGCAGUCUGGUUUGUCAUGUACAUGCACUUCAUGGAAAAUGCUAGCUAGCUGGCACAGGAGCCGAAGAAGAACGAAACUUGGCAUAUUCAUCUUUCAAAAAAAAAAAAAACUUGGCAUAUUAAUUCCACUUUUCAGAAUAAGCUGUGCUUAAGAUUUGUUCUUUAAAAUAUCUUUUAUUUAAAAAUAUAUUAAAAUAAUUUAUUUUUUAUUUUUAAAAUUUUAUUUUUAAUAUAUGAUUUAAAAUCAUAAAAAAUAUUAGAAAAAUUCAAUAAUACUUUUAAAUAUAAAAACAAACACUUUAGAAGUACAAUUUUGAUUAAUAAACAAACCAUCAAAGCAAAUUGUACUUGGAAAAUAAAUUUAUCUGUCCCUAAAUUUUAGUCAUGAAUAGGAAAAUGAAAAUAAAUAAAUAAUGUCAGAGUUUUUAACCACUUCACUUGUGAUGCACAAUUGCACAUUCAUUACAAUAAUAAAUAAAAAAUUGACAAUUGAUUUGGCAACCAACCACAUGAUUUUUAAACAUAUGACGUCACCAAUUUUUUUCAAAAUCAAUAAGAAUGUUUUAAAAAAUACAUCUGAAUUUGAUUUGAUAGAAAAUUUAGAAUUUAUUGUUUCACUAUGACAUCACGUCUUUUACAUUCUUUAAAAUGAACCUGAACACUAAAUACACAAGGAAGAAGAAGCUCAGACCAAUUAGACAAGUGCUCAUGACAAGCCUUAAUGAAGAUUCUAGAACUGCAUAUGUGCCUCUAACGAAUGCAAUAAUCAUUGUACCCAUGCCAAUCAUGGUCGACAACGUGGCAAACAAAAAUAAUUUCCUAGUGGUAUACUUAUUUAUCACUUUAUACUUAUCCACUUCAAGACCAUGAAUCAGCGAAAUCAAAAAGUGGAUAAAGACAACAAAAAUGGAGAGCAUCAUUGACAUUGCAUCUGAGAUGACAAAUACUAUAAAAACAGUUUUUUUAGCUAGAAUAGCAGUGCCUCGGUCACUCUUGUAACCGCCAGGUAGGGUGAAUGCUGCUGCAAAUGUUACGGUUGCUAUCAGCGCCGCAACAACUAGAUGAGACUCUCUUGCUUUACUCAAAGCUUCCUCUUGCUCUUUGUUUUUCUCUUCCUCUUUCUCUUCCAAAACAAAGGGACAGUAAUCAAUCAGUCCACUGCAAACAUCUUUAAGGGAUUCUAGGAUCUCUUUCUGUAAAAAUAUAUAUUUUGAGUAAAAUAUGUUAAGAUAUUAAAAGAGGUUUUAAAAGUAAUUCUUUAUUACUUUCUAGAUUAUUUUUUUAAGUGAAUUUUUGUAAAAAAAAAAAUUCAUAUUAUCUUGCAUUUAAAUUUUAUUAAUUACAAUAGAAAUAGUGAGAUUUGAAUUUAUAAUUGUUUGAUCAAUAAGAUUGUAAUACUAUUUUAAAAAAACUAUCUCAAUCUAAGAAUAUAAACAAAUAAUCCAUCAUUUUUAGCUAUUUAACAUAUAUCAUAUAUCAACUUCCGAGCCUUUGUUUUUGUUUCCACAACUAGUUUGUUUGCAAUCAAAUCCUUUGUGUUACAAAAACUAAUUUGGUUGAAAUUAAACCGCAUGCUUUCCAUUAGUCCAAUUAUCCCCAAAAAGAAAACUAAGAUGUGUGUGUUUGGGGAUGCAUUAAUUAUCACAACAGUUAAUUCAUAGAGGAUUGAUUACUCGUAUCUCUGCAAAAUUUCCGAAAUAUAUGUCGUCGACCCUUAGCUUUCGCUUAUUGAGACCAAUUAGAUGGAAGGGCGUGUUUCCUUUGUCAUCCUUCUUCGUUCCAAGUCUUGCAAGUAAUGGAAUAUUCUCCAGACAUUCCUCGAAUACUGCUAUAUCUUUACUUCCAGAGCAUAGUGAAGGGCAUUCCAGCCUCUGUUAUCAACUAGCUCACAACAAGCUGGACAUCCAGAAACAAUCUCUUCCAUUACGUUUACGUGUCCUCGAAUGGCUGCAAUGUGAAGAGCUGUUCUCUUCUUCUCUGUUUCAGCAAUGUAGGCCGCGGACGCAUCAUAUUCUAGUAAUACUUCCACUAUACGAUUAGGCAAUAUUAAAUAAUAGGCAGCGUAGUGAAGUGGUGACCAGCCGUUCUCAUCGGUUGUUUUCGUCAACGUUUUUUCUUUUUCUAACAAUUUUCUUGCUGUCCCUGAAACCAACAAAACAAGCAAUAAAAGUUAUCCUUCAUGAACAACAGUGAUUUCACUUAUGCCCCGUUUUAUAAUUUCUUUUAGAAAAGUGGUUUCUUGCAAAAUAUUUUUCUAAAAAAUAAAUUAUUUUUCAAUGUUUUGUAGCAUCAUGAAAAAUAAAUUAAAAAAUAUUUUUCAGUAUUUGGCUAUAUCAUUAAAAAUACGCUAGAAAAAAAAUGGUUAAUAUUUUUUUUUCAAGUUUAAUAAAAUAAUGAGAAGCAAAUUUUAUAAAUUAAAAAGUUGAAUGAGAAUAAAAUUUAAAAAUAUAUAUAAUUUCAUAAAUAAUCUCAAAUAAAAUAAAUAACAAUCAAGAUAAUAAAGAUCAAAUCUAAAUAAUAAAAAAAUAGAAAAAUAAUAAAAUUUAAAAAAAUUAUAAUUUCAUAAAUUAUUUCAAAUAAAAUAAAUAACAAUAAAAAAAUAUGGACAAAAUCUUAUAGAUACAAAAAAAUCCAAUUAAUGAUAAGAGAAAAACAAAUAACAAUGAUAAAAAUAAGGAUCAAAGUUGAUAUAAAAAUCAAAUUAAAUCAAAUUUUAAGAGAUGAAAUUUGAAAAAAAAAAUUCAAAAUAAAAUAUAUACCAAUCAAAAGUUUGAGGAUCAAAUUUGAUAUAAUCAGUAAAUAACAUAAUAUUUCUAAAUUUUCAAAAUAAUAUUUCUAAAAUAAUAUUUCUAAAGGACCAAGUUUGAGGACCAAUUCAAAAUAAUAUUUUUAAAGUUUGAGGAACAAAUAUAUAUAAUCUAUGUGAAUUACUAUAUAUCCAAUUCUUAAACUCACAAAGUUUCUUUUUAAAAAAAAAAAAGCUAAUUAUGAAGCAAACACGGAUAUAUAAAAUCAAAUAUAUGUGGAUUUUAAAUUAUAGUUUACACUAUUAUAUAUAAAUUAUUUAAUUUUCCAGACUUGAGCACAAAAUCCUACCACCAGCUCCCUCCCUGAUUGCCUCGUGUAGAGCAGUUCUACCAUUAGGGCCGCCAUAGUCCACUGAAAUGCAAUUAGUUAGGAUUUCACCGAUCACCAAAGUACCCCUGGAAGCAGCAAUAUAAAGUGGAGUUUCUCCAUGAACAUUGGCGGGAUAUGAAAACUAAGGGUCCUCUUUAGUCAAUAUUUCCACCACAUGGCUCCGCCUAUUUCGAGCUGCCUCGUGCAACGCUGUAUCUCCCUCUUCAUUGGUCAUCCUCAACAUCUUUUUUGCUUCUGUUACUCCGCUCUUCGGAUCUGAAGGUAGAGCUUUUGCGAGGUCAAUGAGGACUCUUACCACGUUGGAAUGACCAUAUCUUGCUGCAAAAUGGAGUGGGAUUUCACCUUUCUUAUUGGCUUGGAAUAACAGUGGUGGACACUUUUCAAGAAUUAUUUCAACAAAAUAAGUGGAUUCCGAUUCACUGCUUUGGUUUCCCAAGUAGACAUGAAGAAUGGUGUUCUCGUCUGGAGUCGAUAACUGAUCAAGGCAGGUUUGAUAUUUCUCAAUGGGAUCGAUAUUGCCUGCUUCUGCAGCUUUGAACAAGACAGGAUCCAUACUAUUUUGAGUUUGGCUCUGCGGCUGGCGUUUUAUUGAAAACGCAGCGCGCAGCCAUUUGGUUAAAGAAAAAAGCAUUUUACUGUUUACUAGGCUCCACUUAAAUUCUGCGUUUCCAACGCAGGGAACGGAAAGCAGCUAUUUCAUGCUUUUUUGUUACUGUUCAUGUUAAUUGCACUGUUAAUGAACAGUGGAACUAACAUGAACAUUAUAUAGUGUACUGUUCAUGGAACAGUGCAGGAGAGCUGCACUGUACACUUAACCCCAGUGAACAGUGCAAUUCUCUUGCACUGUUCACUUGCCUGCGUGCCUUUUUUUUUUCUUCUUUUUAACAUUUUAAAAAAAAUAAAUUAGUUUAUAGUGAAAUUUAUACCUGAUAAUAUUUUAAAAGCAUUUUGAAGUUUUAACCAAACACAUUAAACUAUUUUUUCUUUAACUUCAAUUUCAACCAUAGUUUUAACCAAACACCUAUUUUUUCAAACCAAACUCAACUAAAAGUACUUUUAAUAAAACAACUUUUUUUAAAUCACAACCACAACAACUAUCACAAUACCAAACACACUCUUUGUAGCAUAGAGAAACUCACUAAAUGAAAUUUAAGCUAAUGAAGGGAGGAAAAACCACUAUGGCACAAAGGUUAGAGGUUCCACUCCUCAACUGAUCACAAGCUGCUGAUUUCUGUUUGUUGCAUCCCUGGAUAAAGGAGUAUUUAAAUAGCGUGUUAGAUGUUGUUUUUUAAUGUUUUUUAUUUGAAAAUAUAUUAAAUAAUAUAUAUUUUUUAAAAAAAAUUAGUUUUCAUAUCAUGACAAUAAAAUUAUUUAAAAAACUUAAUUUAAAAUAAAAAAACGUUUUUACCCUUUGAGCAGAAACACAGAUUAUAGUGUUUGGUUUGAAAAAAAAAAAAACCUUAAUUUUUAAUAGUGGGUACACCAAAAGCAUCUUUUACAAUUUUUUUUUUCCCCUGUGAUUCACUUGACUGAUUGAGCUGUAUCCUUCUCGCUUUUUAUUGUUGAUAACUUAAACAGACGAAAAUGACCUCCUUCUUCCUUCUCCUCAAUUGAGAGACAAAUCAAGCUAUCAUCAAGAAAACUAGAAUAUCGAUCAUUCUUGAAGGGAUCGAUAUUGCCUUCUUCCGCAGCUUUGAUAUAUCAAAUUAAAAUUAUCUAAAAAUACAAAACAAAUUAAUUUAUAUCCAAAAAAAAUUCAAUUUUUUUUCACAUUUUGAGAAAAAACACAGAUUAUACCACAAUUGUCUAUUUGUUCUAUUUGGCUUUUUUUUUUUUUAAUUGGAACCAUAUAUUUUAAUUUUGAAGUGUUUUAAAAUGUCAUUUCGGGGGUUGUACAACUACAAAUUACUAUCAAGUUGGUGGCUGCAUUAACUAGCUACUAGACAAAUGGUAGGAGAUUUAGUGUUUACUAGUUGGAUGUCUACUGGCGGACUCACUUUUUAUUUUUAUAAAAAAUAAAAAAUUUAUAAUAUAAAAAAUAAUAUUUUUUAAUAUUUUUAAAAAUAUAUUAAUUAUUUUAUUAAUAAUAUUAAUUAUAAUAAAAAUAAUAUUUUUUUAUAACACAAAUAAUAAUAUUUUUAAUAUUCAUACUAUUAAUCAUAAUAAAAAUAAUUAUAUUUAUAACAUAAAUAAUUAUAUUAAGAAUUUCAAGGAUGAUUAUAACACAAAUAAUAAUAUUUUUUACAUCAAUAUUUUGAGUUAUAAUAAAAAAAUAAUAUUUUUAACACAAAUAAUAACAUUAAAAAAACUAACGUGGGGUUGGAUGUGGACGUGGUGACAUCCAGCUUAACAUGAGGUUGGGCAUUGACGCAUUCAGAGUCAACAUGGGGUGGGUCGGGGACGCGUCCUAAUCCAACUUGUGGUCGGGCACGAAUAUUUCUAGGCCCAACCUGGAGUUGGUAAGAUUGUGUCCCCGCACGAGGGCGUGUGCCUUGCUCAUGCCAGGACAAGGUCAAAGGCAAGCCAGCCCCAACACCACGUGGCGUGUGGCCUGCCCUAACACAUGGACAGGUCAACCCAAACGCCUGGUGUCCUCACUUGGGGGCGUGGGUCUGGCUGACAUCUUGAGCAGCCUCACCAAAACUUCAAAUGACAAUUUUCUCCUUAACUAACACUUCAAUGUCAAAUACAUCUCAUAAAAAAUAUAUCCCCACCCCUCACUCGCUGCCCUUGCAACUCUUUAUGGCAAGGUUGAGCUGUUAUUAUAGUACUCCAAUCCAUAGUGCUCUAAGUCUAGGUAAACAGUAAGAGGAGCACUGAACCCUUUUAGUAUAUAGUGUAAUUUGAUAUUAUAAUUAAUUGUAUUUUUUAAAAAAUAUUUUUUGUUUGAAAAUAUAUUAAGAUAAUAGUUUUUAGAUUUUUUUAUUUUUAAAAUCAAUACAUUAAAAUUAUUAAUGAAACAUACUAAUAAAAACAUAAAUUUGAUUUGUUUUAAAAAAACUCUUUUAAAAAUAACAGUGGUGGACACCUUUCAAGAAUUUUAUCAACAAAAUCAAUGAAUUCCGGUUCACUGCUUUGGUUUUUCAAGUAAACAUGAAGAAUGGUGUUCUCGUCUGGUGUCAAUAACUGAUCAAGGCAGGUUUGACAAUUCUCGAAGGUUCCACCCCUCAACUGAUCACAAGCUGCUGAUUUAUGUGGUUUGUUGCCUCCCUGGAUGAAGGGGUAUUUGAGAGAGUGUCAAAUAUUGUUUUUUUUUUUUUAAUAUUUUUAAUUUUAAAAAAAUAUUUUUUAUUUUAAAAAAAUAUUAUUUUUAAUAUCAUCACAAUAAAAUUAUUUAAAAAUAUCUAAAUUUUUUCUUUAUGUUUAUGUUUUGAGCACAAACACGGAUUACAGUGUCUGGAUAAAACAAAAAACUUAGUUUUUAUAAGUGGUCUUUUACGAAGCUUUUUUAUUUCCUGUGGUUCACGUGACUGACUGUGCUGUAUCGUUCUUGCUUUUAACAGUUAAUAACAUAAACAGAAGAAAAUGAGCUCCUUCUCCGUUCUCCACAAUUGAGAGACGAAAAAAAUUAUAGCAUUCUUAGUGCGCCCAAUAAAACCUUCAGCAUCCAUAAAAUCAGAUCUUAAUUGCAUGACUCUGAGCAGUGGCGGAGCCAGGAUUUUUUAAAUGAGGGGGCAAAUUACUAACAAAUAUUUGAUAUUAUAUAUUAUAUAUUAUACAUACAUGUGUUAUAUAUAGAAAUUAAUUUGAAAUAUAUAUACCAACUCAAGUUAAGCAAAAUUAAUUUAAGAAUACUUUUAAAAUAAAAAAACUUACAUUAUAAUUGUUCUUUUCGAGAUUUAAUAUUUUAAAACUGUUUCAUAAUGAUUUUAUUUUUAAUCUCAUUAAAAAUAUCUUUCUCAAUAUAUAUAACAAAUUUUAUUUAUUUAUUUCUAAAUUUUUCAAGGAUUGAGAAAGUUUUUGGCAGUAAUUUUAUGCUGACAUAUAGUACAUAAUAUCUAAAAUCAUAGCUUAAAAGGAUUGUCAUAAAUUAAUGUUGUUCUUGCUAGCUUGUUGUUUUGUACAAGUGAAUUAAACAUACAUAUUAAAUAUAUAUUUUUUAAUUUAUUUAUUAUGUCCUUAAUUUUUUUAGUUCCUGUAUUUCAUUUUUAAUCAUUAAUAAAUUUAUUAUUAUCAUUUUUCAUAUGAAAUUCAUAAUAAAUACUACCAGUUCAUCAAAACUCAUUUCAUUUCAUAUCUAUUAGCAUAUAAUAUUAUCCAUACACAUAUUAAUUCAACAAACCCAUAAAUUAUUAUAAACCCUAACAUUUUCAAAUAAAACUAAAAUUAUAUAAUAAAAUAAAUAAAAAAGUAAUUUGGAUAUUGAUUUAUCUACUAUUAAUUUAUAUAAAUCAUUUAAAAAAAGUAACAAUUUUAUACCAUGAAAUAAUUAAAGUGGAAUCAAUAGUAGCAUUGAUGAAUCGGACUAUCAAAGAGAGGACCAAAGACAUUCAUCUUUGUGCUUUUUCCUCGCCAUCAAAUGCUUCUCUUGCUGUGGAGGGUUUCUAAUUAAUUGGGAGGGGGAGGGGGCAAUUGCCCCCUCUUGCCCCUACGUGGCUCCGCCACUGACUCUGAGCCAGAGGAUACAAAUUCAAAGCCAAAGGUGAUACAAGAAACGCAAUCAAAUUUUCCCCAACGCCAAGAGAAAGGAAAUUAAGUGGUCCAGCUCUAACCAUAAGAAAAACGAGUGAAGACAAAAAAGAUGCAAUUAAGUAGGGAAGAGAAAUUGACGUCGAGGAAGACAAGCUAGGACAAUCAUUAUGAGUGUCUUUAUGUUCAAGAGCAGCUGCAACACACGAAGAAGGCCAAGCUACUUCAAAAAUUGAACUUUCCACGAAGGUUGUCAGUCAAAUUUAAAUUUUAGACUUUGGAUCCUAGGCAAGGAUUAAAGGAACGGUUGGUAUGCAUCACUGUCAUAGGGUUAACAUUAAUCGUUUCUUAGUUAUUUGGAGAUUUUUAUUUAUUUGAUGCUCAUAAUAGUUCCUUUUUAAUUGUUGAUAUUAUAAUUGUUUUUUUAAUUAAAACUCUCGGAAUUUGUUUAACAUUUGAAGAUAGGUUAUUAUAAAACUAAUUAUCAUAUCACACUUAAUAAGUCACUUUAAUAUUAUGCAUCUAGUAGUCACAAUUUUUUCUUUAAUUUAUAUCUAUCAUAAAUUUUUAUUGCCAAUUUUAAGAAAUUCAAUAUAGGUUAAAAUUUUCUAGCAGGCAUCUCGAGUUUCUCAAGUUGGCUUACUUGGCGCAGGCGAGGCAAGGCAUCCUUGGAUCCGAGUUUGAGGCCUAUCGCCCCCUCCUGUAAACAAAUUGUUGGCAACUUCCCUGAGACGCAAAUAUUGGUUGAUUGCUCCACUUGUGAAUCUCGGUUGCAAAUGAACCCCUUUUUUUUUCAAUGGUGAGUUGAUUUGCCAAGUUACUGAGUUGAUUUGCAAACCCGUCCAGCUACUGAGUUGAUUUGCCAAGUUUAAUAACUAUACUAUAAACAGCUUCUGCACGUUCAAUGAGGAGUUUUACCACAUUGGAAUGGCCAUAUCUUGCUGCCAAAUGGAGGGGGGUUUCUCCUUUUUUAUUGGCUUGGAAUAACAGUGGUGGACACCUUUCAAGAAUUUUAUAAACAAAAUCAGUGGAUUCCGGUUCCGUCGUUUGGUUUCUUAAGUAGACAAGAAGAAUGGUGUUCUCGUCUGGAGUCAAUAACUGAUCAAGGCAAGUUUGACAAUUCUCAAAGGGAUCGAUAUUGCCUUCUUCCGCAGCUUUGUACAAGACAUGAUCCAUAUAGAUGAUGCUAUUCAUUUUCUCAGAAGAAUCCAUAAAAUCAAAUUCACUCAUAACCAAAAAAAAUCAAAAACUUUUGUACGUUUUGAGCAGAAACACAGAUUAUACCACGAUUGUCUAUAUUUUAUUAUAGUUGGAGUUUUAUUUUUUCAAUUGGAACCAGAUAUUUUAAUUUUGAAGCAUUUUAAAAUAUCAGGUUGUACUACUACAAGUUACUAUCAAGUAGGUGGCUGCAUUAACUAGCUAUAGUAGAUAAAAUUGCAUGAGAAUUAAGUUUAUUAUAAUUUUAAAAAAUAUUUUUUAUUUAAAAAUAUAUUAAGAUAUUAUUUUUUAUAACUUGUUUUUUAAAUCAAUACAUCCAAACUAUUAAAAAAUAAUAAUAAAAACGUAAAUUUAAUUUGUUUUUAAAAAAUAUAUAAAAACAAAAGCAAUCUCUUUGUUAUGGUUAGAAUUAUCAAGGACAAUGUAGUUAAUUUUAAAGAUCUGUUUAAAAGUAUGAUAAAUAUUAUUUUUUAAAGUAUUUUUUAUUUAAAAAUAUAUUAAAAUAAUAUUGUUUUAUUAAUUUUUAAAAUUUAAUUUUAUAUCAUUUAAAAACAUAAAAUAUAAUUUAAUUUCAAACUAAAAAAAUUAAAAAUUUUAGAAAAAUAUUUCACACAUCUAAGACUUGAAGAUAAGGAGACUGUGGUCCAGCUCUAACCAUAAGAAAAACGAGUGAAGACAGAAAAGAUACAAGUGGGGCAGAGAAAUUGACGUUGAGGAAGACAAGCUAGGACAAUCAUUAUGAGUAUGUUUAUGUUCAAGAGACAAGAAGGUCAAGCUACUUUAAAAAUUGAACUUUCCACGAAGGUUGUCAGUCAAAUUUAAAUUUUAGACUUGGGUCCAAGGCAAGAAUUAAAGGAACGGUUGGUAUGCAUCACUGUCAUGAUAAAUAGGGUUUACAUUAUUAGUUUCUUAGUUAUUUGGAGAUUUUUAUUUAUUUGAUGCACAUAAUAGUUUCUUUUUAAUUGUUGAUAUUAUAAUUAUUUUUUUAAUUAAAACUCUUGAAAUUUGUUUAACAUUUGAACAUAGGUUAUCAUAUCACACAUGAUAUGUCACUUUAAUAUUAUGCAUCUAGUUGUCACAUUUUUUUCUCUAAUUUAUAUCUAUCAUAAAUUUUUAUUGCCAAUUUUAAGAAUUUCAAUACAGGUUAAAAUUUUCUACCAGGCAUCUCGAAUUUUCCCCGUCGGCUUACUUGGCGCAGGCUAGGCAUCCUUGGAUCCGAGUUUGAGGCCUAUCGCCCCCUCCCGUAAGCAAAUUGUUGGCAACUUCCCUGAGACUCUUUUAACCAUGUGACGUGAAACUUGUAAGAGUAAUUUGUAUAUUGAUGGAGUGUAGGUACUGAUGAGAAAAAUGCUCAGUAAUUACUGCAUUUCUUGUUCCGCAUACUGGAAAUGUUGAUGAAAUUGUUGUUUUGUUCAUUAUAAUUGUAAUAUCAUGAAAUUGCAGUGCUGUCUGGGGAUCAUGUUAUAUUAUAUGGUAUCUUUUCAGCAUGUCACUCAAAACCAAUUGGACUACCCUAAAAAUUAUAUUAUAUACAUAUGAUUUAAUGAACCCAAUUGUUAAUAAACGUUUCUUGACAGUAAUAACAUGAAUUCAGGUUGUAUAUACGAAACUUGAAUAAAAGAAAAAAGUUCAAUAUUGGAGAGGAUCUUGCCAAUUUUCCAACUUAACACCCAGUCCUUGGACUCAGAUGAGAUCACGUAAUGAUCUUAUACACUGAUGGCAAGCCCGAUAAAGAUUCUAGAAUUGCAUAUGUGACUGUGAUGAAUGCACUUUACCACAACCAAAAAACAAACAAAUAAAUAAAAUUAUAGCAUUCUUAAUUAGUACGCCCAAUAAAACCUUCAGCAUCCAUAAAAUCAUAUCUUAAUCGCAUAACUCUGAGCCAGAGGAUACAAAUUCAAAGCCAAAGGUGAUACAAGAAACACAAUCAAAUUUGCCCCAACGCCAAGAUAAAGGAAAUUUCAAUCACCCCUUCUUGCUAGUCUACACUGUCAUCACCUCGUACCAAUUUUGUUUUAGUUGGCGUUUAAUUUUUAGUUGGUAUUUUAAUUUUGAAGUGUUUUCGAAUUUCGAGGUUGUAGUAUUUUAAAGUUACUAUCAGGUAAGUGGCUGCAUUAAUUAGCUACUAGACAAAAUUGCAUGAGAUUUGGAGAGUGUUUCGGAGUGCUUUUCAAAAGCAUUUAUAAAAAAAUUUGAAAAUUUUUUAUUUUUUAUUUUGAAUUAAUAUGUUUUUGAUGUUUUCAAAUCAUUUUGAUAUGCUGAUCUCAAAAAUAAUUUUUAAAAAAUAAAAUAAUAUUAUUGACAUGCUUUUUUGAGUGAAAAACACUUUGAAAAGCAACAACAACCACACUCUCAAACACGUUUUUGAUGAAUAUUUGAACUAUUUUUUAAAUGUUUUUUUAUAUAUUAAAAUAAUAUUUUUUGAAAUUUUUUAUUUUAAAAUUAAUAUAUCAAAACCAUUAAAAAACACUGAAAUACAUAUAAAUUUAAUUUUUUUAAAAAAAAAAACUUUUAAAAAAUAUAUACAACCAAAAGGAAUCUCUUUUCUAUUGUUAGAGAAUAUAAUUUAGGGUGCUUGUUUGUUCGGAAUUCCAAACUUUCAUGUGUUUUUUUGCUAUUAAAAAAGUUGGUCAACGAAAAACACUUUUCAGUAAAAAACAGUUGGCUUGAUUUUCAAGAAAAUAUUUUCCUUUUAUUUUGGACGAAAAACACUUUCCAAAAGUUGUGAAAAAUUUUAAAAUAUCAUAUUAUUUGCUGAUUAUAUAAAAUUUGGUCCUCAAACUUUUGAUUGAUAUAUAUUUUGUAUGAAUCUUUUUUUUUUCAAUUUUAUCCCUAAAAAUUUGAUUUAAUUUGAUUUUUAUAUUAACUUUGAUCAUCAUUUUUAUGAUUGUUAUUUGUUUUUCUCUUAUUAUUUUUUUAAUUGAAAUUUUUCAUCUAUUAAAUUUGGUCCUUAUUGUCUUUAUUGUUACUUAUUUUAUUUGAAAUUAUUUAUGAAAAUAAAAUUAUUAUUAUUUUAAUUUCAUCAUCUUUUAAAUUUUUUAUUUGUUAAAUUUGAUCUCUAUUAUUUUGAUUAUUAUUUAUUUUAUUUGAGAUAAUUUAUGAAAUUAGAUUUUUUUUUAAUUUUAUUUUUAUUCAACUUUUUAAUUUAUAAGAUUUAUUCCUCAUUAUUUUAAUAAACUUGAAAAAAAAAACAUUAAUAAGUUAUUAUUCAGUUCAUUUUUCAUAACAUAACCAAACACUGAAAAAAAAUAUUUUUCUAUUUAUUUUUCAUUACACUACCAAAUUUCAUUAAAUAAUUUAUUUUUCAACAAUUUAAUAUUUUUUUUAAAAAACCACUUUAUAAAAGAAAAUUCAGCGCUUUAAUUUCAAACUAAAAAAAAUAAAAAUUUUAAAAAACAUGUUUAACGCAUCUGACUUUUAGAUAAGGAGAUUGUGGUCCAGCUCUAACCAUAAGAAAAACGAGUGGACAGAAAUGAUGCAAGUGUAGCAGAGAAAUUGACGUCGAGGAAGAAAAGCUAGGACAAUCAUACUGAGUAUGUUCAUGUUCAAGAACUUCUGCAAUACACGAAGGUUGCCAGCCAAAUUUAAAUUUUAGCCUUGGAUCCAAUGCAAGAACUAAAGGAACGGUUGGUAUGCAUCGUUGUCAUAAAUAAUGAGUACCACUUUUUGGUGCAGCUUUUUCUGCCACUUUGAAUUUAAGAAUAUAGUUGGCUGAAUUGCCUCUGAAUUUAUUGUAAUAGAUCAUCAACUUUAUCUUGUCUCGUAGCCUUUGUCACAUGUUCACACGGUGGAAAGUAUGAAUGCACUUGGACAAAAAUAACAGCAAAGACAAAGAACACAAGUCUAUUAUUUCCUAAGCAUGUAAUUUAACUUCUUAAGAAAUCAUCUCUAGUCAAGAAGUUACAUUUGUUUUUACUACUCUUAUUUAAUAAAAAUAUUAAACAACUAUUUCAACUUAAAAAUUUAAAUUUAUUUUUAUACUUUGUUUUACAUUUUUUGAACAUAUAAAAAUUUAAAUUGUUUGUGAAACUUCUAGAAUCAUUUUUAUUCUAUUCUCUCACAGAACUCAGACAGCUUCCUCUUCUUUAUUUAUUUUUCCAUAUUGAUGAAUUAGUAUAAAUAGGCUUACAAGCCUAGCUAGUAAAUGGAACUAGCCAAAAUAGUUACUUCUAUCAACAACCAUUUUCAAUAAACAACAGUCAUACAAGAUGAAUUCCUCUGAUCAACAAAUGAAUAGCAUCACUUACAUGGAACCAAAAUUGUACAAAGCUGCAGCAAAAGGCAACAUCAACCCAUUUAAUGAUCGUCUUACAACUUCUCUCAAUGAGCUAUUGACUCCAAAAAAGAACACAAUUCUUCAUGUGUACUUAGAAAACCAACGUAGAGGAUCGAAAUCCACUGAUUUUGUUGGCCAAAUUAUUGAUAUGUGUCCACAACUGCUAUUGCAAGCCAAUACUAAAGGCGAAACUCCACUACAUUUUGCGGCAAGAUAUGGGCAUUCCAAUGCAGUGAAAGUCCUGAUUGACCGCGCAAAAAAGCUAGCUAUAGAUCCUGAGAACGGGCCAGCAGAAGAAAAGAAUAUGUUGAGGAUGACGAAUGAAGAGCAAGAUACAGCGUUGCAUGUGGCAGCUCGACAUAUCCAAGCCCAAGUGGUGGAAAUAUUGACAAAAGAGGACCCUGAGUUUUCAUAUUCCGCCAAUGUUCAUGGAGAAACUCCACUUUAUAUUGCUGCCAAUAUGAGGUUUGUGAACUUUUUUUUUUGUCUCAAACAGAGUUUGAUACCGAUUCGAUACUAUAAGUGACCAACAUCUUUUUUUUUCUUUUAAUAUUUACUAGAUUAAUCAAUUUUUUACUAAUCUAUUUAUCAAUCUAGAAUACUAUCAUUUUAAGAUUAUAUAAAUGUAAUUGUUAAUUAAUUUUAAUUUGUACAGCUUUAUAAUGUUAAAGUAAAUCUGUUUUUUAAAUUAUCAUAAAAGAUAUUAGGAUUUUACCUGCUUAUUUUUUUUUAUGCUAUAUAUGUUAUUGAACUCGAGACAUAUUAAUUCAAUAAAAAACAGCAAAAUUUAAUGGUUUUUAAUUCUCUUUUAUAAAGCAAACUUCCCAGAAAGGCAAGAGAGUUUUGAAGGGGAAAAAAAAAUAAAAAGGAAAAGAAUUUUGAUAAUAUUAAUUAGCAUUUUUUUUUAUCUCUUAUAAAAGAGAAUAUUGAUACUUUAACACUCGUGUACAUCAAAAAAAUCUUGCUACAUCAGUAUUUAUUGGACUUAAAAUGUUAAUAAAAAUCACAUAUAUCUAAUUAUGAUUAUAUUGCUGCCAAUGUAAGGUUUAAUAGGAAGUUAAAAAGACAUGAAGAACAUAGAAAAAAAGUGAUCGAAAUCUUGAGUAGUUGCAAGUCAGUGGAAUAUUGUGGUUCUCAUGGCAGAACCGCACUACACGCGGCAGCCAUGCAUGGUGAUCAUGGUAAGAUUUUUUUCUGAACUGUAAAUCUUUGAAUUCAUAAAUUAUUAUCGGAAACCAUAACUGUGAGAAGUGUGUUCUUAUCUUAAAUUAUUUCUUAUCUGUUUGCCAUUUUAUUGUACUCAUUUAUUUUAUGUUUCUUAAAAAAAAUCUUAUUUUAACCUUUAGGAUAUUGUUGUUUUCAUUUAUUGUUCAUUUGUCAAAUUCUUCGUUUACUCUAUCACAUUUAUUUGAUAUAUAUAGAAGUUAAUAAAGGUGAAAAAAAAAACAAAAAUAUUCAUUUUAUGUUUGUUAAAUUAAAGGUUAGAUUGUAUUUAUUACUUGUAUAAUUCAUUGGAAGAUACAAGGUAAAGAAAAUACAUAUUAAGAAGACAAUGAAUUUCCUAGUCUAUUUAAUUAAGGACUUAUUUGCAUGAUUAUAUAUAAGAUUUUAGGACCAAAAUGUUCUUAUAUACGUUUGAAUGUAAGGAAUGUAUAUGACAAGUAUGUGUGGGAGAAUCAUUUCCCUUACAUAAAUAAAUAAAUAAAUAAAUAACACUAAUGAAUUAUUAGAUUAGUAAGACUAUUGGAUUCUACUUUAAAAUGAUAAUUAAAGGCUCAUAAUAAUAUUGAAUUUUAUUCUUGUUGUUUAUAGUUUUUCUUAAGAACUUUGGUCAUCUAGUUCAAAUGAAGUUGGAGUUGGUGACAUUUCCAUAUUAUUAUUUUAAAUAUGACCAAAUAAUAAGAACCAAUAAAAAUAUGAUGCAUAAACAAUAUUGAAUAGCGACUAUAAGAACCAAAUAACUUAAUUAGAAAGCAAGAAAGGGCAUUUAUAAUACAAUUGAAGAGAGAAAAAUGCCAAAUUAAAUAUUAACUUAUCACUAAAUUAGUAGCGUAGAUAACGCAUUAACUAUAAUAUUAUUCAUAUAUUACUUAAUAUGUACCAUAUUUUUUCUUAUGGUUUAUUGCAGAGACAGCAAUAAAUAUAUUACAAAGCAACGCGAGUUUGACGAGAAGAACCGACGAUGACGGGUGGUCACCACUUCACUACGCUGCCUUUUUCCCUUUUUCAUAUACUGGUUUUGUAACAGUAAUAGAACUACUAAAACAUGAUGUGUCCGCAGCCUACAUUGUUGAUUCAGAGAAGAGAACAGCCCUUCACUUGGCUGCCGUUCGAGGCAAUAUGGCAGUAAUGGAAGAGAUUAUGAAGACUUGUCCAGCUUGUUGUGAACUAGUGGAUAGCAGAGGUCGGAAUGCCCUUCACUAUGCUGCCAUAACUCUAAGAGGAGCACUUACAGCUAUGUCUUUCCCUCGAUCGAUUCCUAAAUUUGAGAAACUUAUAUACGAGAAGGAUAACGAUGGAAACACACCAUUGCAUCUAUUUGCUGCUUUCGGCAGUUUUACCCAGAAGAGUAGUGAUUGGAUACAUGCGUGCAAGAAGAUGUGUGGCCUUAACAAGCAAAAGCUCAGCGUUGAUGACAUCUUGGUAGGAAAUUUUCCUGAAGAAAAGGUAAUUCCCUCGAUUUGACUUUUUAACGAGUCGCACUCGUACACGCGAAAGAGUCUUUGCAUUUGAAAAAGCUUGCUAACUUACCAAGACAAAUUAAAUUUAAUAUGUCAUAGGAAUGAUGUAAGAUUAUUUUCAUAAAUAUCAAAGGAUGCAUCAAGAGAAUUUAUAAUAUUCAUUCAAUCUUGUUAAAAAAAAAAAACUUCAACUCUAACAAUAAACACGCGUGCACCUUUAAUAAAUCACAUCAAUCAAACAUAAAUUCACUUGGAUUGUCUCCCUUUUUUAAAAAAAUAAAAUAAAAAUAGAAUAGAAAUCCUUUUGGCAAUAUAACAAAAUUAUACCUUCAACUUCAACACGUAUUUUUAAUUGACUAACACUAUUUGCUUUGAGCCUGUUUGGCUCUACGGUUCAACCUGUGUUUUCAUAAAUUUUAAAUUUUAUUUUUUUGCUAAAAUUAAAUGCGGUUUGUAUCUUUUGAAUCAUUUUGAUGUGCUGAUAUCAAAAAUAAUUUUUAAAAAAUAAAAAAACAUCAUUGGCAUGCAUUUUGUCCCCUAGACUGAUGUUGGUUUCUUUUAUUUGUUUGUUUUAUGGUGUGUUUGAUAUUUUAAUUGAUUAAAAUAAUUUUUUUAUUUUUAAUAUAAACAUAUUAAAAAUAUUAAAACACGCUAAAAAAAUUAAUUUGAUUUGUUUCCAAACCAGACCCUUUUAAAUCAUACUUAAAAAUAAUUUAAAAUUAAAAAACAAACAGCCCUCGUAGCAACAAAAGCAAUAUAUAUUGUUGGUAGCUAAAAGAAACAAAAUUACUUGAUUUCAAACUCGCUGGUUAUGAUAGCAAACAAAGGUUGAGAGUCUACAGAUGAUAAAGGAAAAGAAAGAUUCGUUUAAUUUCACAGCCGAAACUUGUUGCAGAAAAAGAUUUUGGAAUCAUUGAAAGAUGUACGGAGUGGACCGCUUCAACGGCCCAUACCUAUGAUGAAAGAAGUGAACCUCUCUAGUACUGAGAUUGGAAUGGAGACUCGUGUACUUGUAGCGGCACUCGUAGCAACAGUAACAUUUGCAGCUGCUUUCACGAUGCCUGGCGGUUACAAGAACGAACAAGGCACUCCAGUUCUUCUUAAAAAUGCUGCUUUUGCAGUCUUUGUUAUAUCAGAUACAACAGCAAUGGUUCUCUCAAUUUCUGCCCUCUACAUAUACUUUUAUUGGGCAGUGAUUGGAAAAAGAGGUCAAGUGGAACAGAAUAUAAAAGAAAACUUCUCUGACUGGACAUCUGCUUUAACCGCAUAUGCCAUCCUAGCUAUGCUCAUCGCAUUCAUCACAGGAAGUUAUGCAGUGCUAGCUCCAUCAUCAUGGCUUGCAAUCACGACUUGUUUCAUUGGUGUAGUCUACGUCUUCUUUGCGUCCACGGCAUACAUAGUUGACGUACGCACCAUUAUAAAAUAUUGGAAAUAUUGAAGAAGAUUGAUUAUCAUUUAGCUCGUGUUAUAAACUAUCUUCUCGUCAUCUUCUUUAUGGCAUCAGCUGUAACGUUGGUUUUAUUUAUCAAGUUAAUUUACCUUGCUUUUCACAAGUACAAUGAUCGAAAAAUUCAAUUUUGGCACUUGGGAAGUGGUACUGAGCCAUAGAAUGACGGCUAACAAGUUCACCAUUGAUUCUAGAUGAAUGGCACUGAGCCAUAAUUUUCAAAGGACUUGAAUUUCUAAUAUAUAUAUAUAUAUAUAUAUAUAUAUUGAUUAGAAUUUCCAUUAAUUGCUGAACGGUAAUUCGGACUUCAAUUUCUACACAUUGCAACUUCAUUCACCUUCCCAACUUUUUGUUUAACCGAAAUCAUUCUCAUGAAAUGCAAAACAUUCUUUUACGAGAACAAAAAUAAAUAAAAAAAGUAACAAAGGAAAAUUUUACGACAGGCACAAGAAAAACCAUAAUAAAAAAAAGGAGGAAAAUGGGUAUAUAAAACAGCAGAACAUAAACAUUUUGAGAAAUUAAUGAAUUAAUGAUGUAGUGCUAUGAUUUAACUCCGAUCUAGUGGGUUAUGAAGGAAAUGAAGCUGAUGACAACACCCAAUGUCUGAGAUUUUCAGACCCUAAUUCCACUGACAAGGUGUAAAGAGUGUAGUUAAAACACAAUUUGAACAACGGAGACAAAAAAAAUAAAAAUCAAUUUAUGUUUAUGUUUAGUGUGUUUUAAGACUAAAUAAUUUGUUUUAUUUUGUGUUUGGUUAGCAUUAGUCAAGACACAAGUAAAAAAUAAUUAGUGGAAGAAUUAAUCUAACUUGAACCCGAUCAAAAAUUCAAGUUGACCUACUAUAAAGUUUACUCGAAAUAAAACACUAAUAAAAACUUUUAAUUUUUUUUAUCAAAAUAAAAUUAUUUUAAUUUAUUUUUAAUUUAUAUCAACUUAAAUUGACUUUCCUAUUGACCUUCCUCCUAACUCAUGAUUAGGCCUUAUCUCACAUUAACUCUUAGGUUAGAUUUUAAAACAACUAUAACAAAUAUUUUGAUUUAUAUAUUAAUUUUAUUCAAUUAGGUAACCUUCCUAACACGUAAUCAAAAUCUUGCAUUGAAUUAUUAUUUAUAUUGAGUUUUAUAUUCACUCAGAUUAACGAUGAACAUGAUGUGUGAAUCAAAUGUUAUAUUAUUUAAAUUUUAAAAUUAUAAUAAUUAUUAUUUUUAUUUUUAUAUUAAUACAGAUCAAUCCGGUUAAUUCUUAUGCAAAACAUUUAACAAUCUAGCUUAUUCUACUCCUUUUAAUAAACAAAAAUUUCUCCACUGGCCUUGUUUAGAACAAAAAGUAAAUACUCCAAAAAAACUUCACAAAAAGAUUAUACCAUCCAAUCCAUUUUUUACAGCAUAUCGAACACUACAUGAAUUUCAAAAUAAAAAAUUACCUCAGUUAAAUCCAUUAAUAUCAUAGUAAUGUAGCUUCCACCAAGUAGGUUCUCCCUGAUAAACAGGGACAUGGCUCCACUACACCUUCAACAAAUUGGAUUAUAUCAUCAUAGGCAAUCUUACAUUACAAUUUUGCUCAAACCAAAAAUUAGCAUAGCCAAGUCUCAAAAACCUUAAACCUCCUAAAUAUUACUUAACAUUAAAAAUAGAUAUACAAGGAAUUCAUGAAUGGAUGCAAUGUAAUAAGCUAUUCAAACUAUUUUGUAUCUAUAAAUUAAAUGGCUCAAAGUUAUAACAGCUCUAACAAUCAAGAAUUUUCAGUAGCAGAACUGGCAUUAAAGUUGUAUAUUAAUCAUCACUGCCAAAAAUUUCUGGAAAAAAGCAUAACUUUAAUCACAGAGCAAACAGAACCCAAGAUCGAUCAAUAAAACGAAAACUUGAUGAAUCCAAUCAAAACUUGAUUUAUCUCUUUGCUUCAUUGAUUUCUCUCAGAAGAGCGAUAAAUGCAAUCUAAUAAUCGCCAACAAAUUUAAUAACAUAAAACAAUCAAAACUUGAUGAAUUUGGAGGGAUGUUUUAGAGGCAAAACCAUUGACACAAAGGGCAUAAGCCCCACGUGAACACCACCAAACAAAACUCAAUCCUUGCCUCAGUGACUAGCUUAAUGUCCACCAUAGUUCUCAAAAAAACAAGCUAGGGGUACAGAGAGUCAGCAAAAAAACACAUACCCAGAUAAAAAAAAAUGAAAAAUUUUAAAAAAAAUAAGAGAUGUAGUCGUUGAUUUGACACAGAUAACCCAGGGAAAAAGGUACGAGAGGCUAAACUCAAUGGAGUCCAUAACUCGGAUUGCAGGUUUAGUAGGUUAGGCUACAAAGCUCAAGAUAUUAUCGUCUCAAUAUUAAAAAAAAAAUAUCGUAUUGAAAUUUUAAAUUAAAUAUUAAAGAUAGAAGCACCGAAAUAUUAUGAAGAGAAGAGAACAGCCCUUCACUUGGCCGUCGUUCGAGGCAAUAUGACAGCAAUGGAAGCGAUUAUGAAGACUUGUCCAGCUUGUUGUGAACUAGUGGAUAGCAGAGGUCGGAAUGCCCUUCACUAUGCUGCCAUAACUCUAAAAGGAGUACUUACAGCUAUGUCUUUCCCUCGAUCGAUUCCUAAAUUUGAGAAACUUAUAUACGAGAAGGAUAACGAUGGAAACACACCAUUGCAUCUAUUUGCUGCUUUCGGCAGUUUUCCCCAGAGGUAUUUGAGGAGUGAUUGGAGACAUGCGUCCAAGAAGAUGUGUGGCCUUAACAAGCAAAACCUCAGCGUUGAUGACAUCUUGGAAGGACAUUUUCCUGAAGAAAAGGUAAUUCCCUCGAUUUGACUUUUUAACCGAGUCGCACUCGUACACGCGAAAGACUCUUUGCAUUUGAAAAAGCUCGCUAACUUACCAAAACAAAUUAAAUUUAAAAAUUAUCAUAGGAAUGAUGUAAGAUUAUUUUCAUAAAUAUCAAAGGACGCAUCAAGAGAAUUUAUAAUAUUCAUUCAAUCUUGUUAAAAAAAAAAAAAAAAACUUCAACUAUAACAAUAAAUACGUAUGCACCUUUAAUAAAUCACAUCAAUCAAACAUAAAUUCACUUGGAUUGUCUCCCUAUUUUAAAAAAAUAAAAUAAAAAUAGAAUAGAAAUCCUUUUGGCAAUAUAACAAAAUUAUACCUUCAACUUCAACACGUAUUUUUAAUUGAUUAACACUAUUUGCUUUGUCCCCUAGACUGAUGUUGGUUUUUUUAUUUGUUUGUUUUAUGGUGUGUUUGAUAUUUUAAUUGAUUAAAAUAUUUUUAUUUUAUUUUUAAUAUAAACACAUUAAAAAUAUUAAAACACUAUAAAAAAUUUAAUUUAAUUUUUUUCUCAGAAAGACACUUUUAAAUCAUAUCUAAAAACAAUUUAAAACUAAAAAAACAAACAGCCCUCGUAGCAACAAAAGCAAUAUAUAUAUAUUGGUGCUAGCUAAAAGAAACAAAAUUACUUGAUUUCAAACUCGCUGGUUAUGAUAGCAAACAAAGGUUGAGAGUCUACAUAUGAUAAUGGAAAAGAAAGAUUCGUUUAAUUUCAUAGCCGAAACUUGUUGCAGAAAGAGUUUUUGGAAUCAUUGAAAGAUGUACGGAGUGGACCGCUUCAACGGCCCAUAGCUAUGAUCAUAGGCGGAGGCAUGCCAAAGGCUAGGGUGGGCUUUAGCCUAGGUCAAGAUUUUAUCAAUAUUUUUUUAACUAGUUUUAUACAAAAACAAUUUAUAAUUCUCAAUUAAAUUAUCAAAAAAUUCUGAAAAUUUACGUGGAGCCUUCUAAUAUGAUGUUUUAGCUUGGGUUAAAAUUUCAGAAUUUUUAAAAAAAUUUAGAAAUUUGAUGAAAAAUCAUAAUUUGAUCGGUUUUACGUUAUUAGAUGUAAUUUUCAAUACGACCAUCAGAUCGAGUUGAAAUUUUACGAGGGAUCUUAAAAUAUAUUGAAUAAAAUCUAGUUAAGAGUUUAGGAUGAACGGAGCUUAGUAGUGCUAACAAAAAAAAAGAUCGUCAAAUAAAAACAAAAUGACUCAUUAAAAGUAAAAUGGUUAUUUGCCAUUAAAAAAUAAAACAAAUCAGCUACUCCUUCCUUUUAUAUGUUGCCGACUAAGCAGAAGCAGAAUAGAAGAAGAAAGAAAAGAAAAGGCAAGAAAGAAAUAGAAAAAAGUAAGGGAAAAACAUUAAAAAAUUCCAAGGAAAAAUAUAAGAAGUGAGAAAAUAACCUUGUAAACUAACGAAGUCCAACUUAUAAAAUACUAAUCUAGAGAAGAAUCAAGUGAAUGAAGAAGGAAUUAAAAGAGGAAAAAAAUUUAAUUACUUUGUUUUUCAGUUGACAUGAGAUUGUUAUUUUAUCCCUGUUGAGGGGUUGUUACAAUAUCGAUUCAGAUUCAAUUAUAGAUGAAUUAUAUUCCACAAAACAUCGAAGAAUGUAACUUUAAUAAUGAGUUUAUUUUUACUUUUGCUUUAAUUUUAUGUACUUUCAAAUUUAUUUUUUAAUAUUUUAGAUAAUGUAUUUGAAUUAAAACUUUAUUAUUAAUUUUAAAAAUUUAUGUACAUAAAUUAAUAAUCGAUCUUAAAAAAUAUUUUUAUAUUUAUUUAUAGCCCAGGAUAAAAAAAAUUCUUGGCUCCGCCCUUGGCUAUGAUGAAAGUAGACCUCUCUACUACUGAGAUAGCAAUGGAGACUCGUAUACUUGUAGCUGCACUCGUAGCAACAGUAACAUUUGCAGCUGCUUUCACCAUGCCUGGCGGUUACAAGAACGAACAAGGCACUCCAGUUCUUCUUAAAAAUGCUGCUUUUGUAGUCUUUGCUAUAUCAGAUGCAAUAGCAAUGGUUCUCUCAACUUCUGCUCUCUUCAUUCACUUUUUUUGGGCACUGCUUGGAAAAGGAGGUCAAGUGGAUGAGGAUAUAAAAGAAAACUUCUCUGAUUGGACACCUGCUUUAACCACAUGUGCCAUCCCAGCAAUGAUCAUCGCAUUCAUCACAGGAAGUUAUGCAGUGCUAGCUCCAUCAUUAUGGCUUGCAAUCACGAUUUGUUUCAUUGGUGUAUCCUUCUUCUUCUUUGCGUACAAGGCAUUCAUAGUUCCAUUCCGCAUCAUUUAAAAAUAUUGAAAAUAAACACUUCUCAGCAGACUUUAAAAGAGUCUGAUAUUGAAGAAGAUUGAUUCUCAUUUAGCUCGUGUUAUAAACUAUCUUCUCGUCAUCUUCUUGAUGGCAUCAGCAGUAACGUUGGCAUCAGCUGUAAUGAUUGAAAAAUUCAAUUUUGGCACUUGGGAAAUGCUAACACCUUCAAUAUAGAGAUCAUAGAAUGACGGCUCACAAGUUCACCAUUAAUUCUAGAUGAAUGGCACUGAGCCAUAAUUUUCGAAAGACUUGAAUUUCUACACAUUGCAACUUCAUUCACCUUCCCAACUUUUUGUUUAACCGAAAUCAUUCUAAUGAAAUGCAAAACAUUCUUUUACGAGAACAAAAAUAAAAAAAUAAAAAAGUAACAAAGGAAAAUUUUACGACAGGCACAAGAAAAACCAUAAUAAAAAAAAAGAGGAGGAAAAUGGGUAUAUAAAACAGCAGAAUAUAAACAUUUUGAGAAAUUAAUGAAUUAAUGAUGUAGUGCUAUGAUUUAACUCCGAUCUAGUGGGUUAUGAAGGAAAUGAAGCUGAUGACAACACCCAAUGUCUGAGUUUUUCAGACCCUAAUUCCACUGACAAGGUGUAAAGAGUGUAGUUAAAACUCAAUUUGAACAACAGAGAUAAAAAAAAAAAAAAUCAGUUUAUUUUUAUGUUUAGUGUGUUUUAAGACUAAAUAAUUUGUUUUAUUUUGUAUUUGGUUAACAUUAACCAAGACAAGAGUAAAAACAAUUAGUGGAAGAAUUGAUAUAACUUGACCUUGUUAAAAAUUCAAGUUAACCUAUAAUUAAGUUUACCCAGAAAAAACACAAAUAAAUUACUUAUGAUUUUUUUUUUAUCAAAAUAAAAUUGUUUUAAUUUAUUUUUAAUUUAGAUCAACUUAGAUUGACCCUCCUCCUAACUUAUGAUUAGGUCUUGUCUCAUAUCAACUCUUGGUUAAGAUUUUAAAACAAUUAUAACAACUAUAUUUAUUUAUAUAUUGACUUGGAUCAAUCUUCCUAACAUGUAAUUAAAAUCUUGUCUUGGAUUAUCAUUUUUAAUUAGUUUUAAAUUAUAAAAAUAAUUAUUUUUAUUUUUAUAUUCACCCAAAUUAACAAUCAAUAUUAUGUAUGACUCAAACCUUGCAUCGAGUCAAUUAUUAUUUAAAUUUUAAAAUUAUAAUAAUAAUUAUUUUUAUUUUUAUAUUAAUACAGAUCAGUCCAGUUAAUUCUUAUGCAAAAAAAAUUAACAAUCUUAUUCUACUCCUUUUAAUAAACAAAAAUUUCUCCACUGGCCUUGUAUAGAACAAAAAAUAAAUACUCCAACAAAACUUCACAAAAAAAUUAUACUGUCCAAUCCAUUUUUUACAGCAUAUCGAACACUACAUAAAUUUCAAAAUCAAAUUACCUCAGUUAAAUCCAUUAAUAUCAUCGUAUUGUAGCUUCCACCAAGUAGGUUCUCCCUGAUAAACAGGGACAUGGCUCCACUACACCUUAAACAAAUUGGAUUAUAUCAUCAUAGGCAAUCUUACAUUACAAUUUUGCUCAAACCAAAAAUUAUCAUAGCCAAUUCUCAAAAACCUUAAACCUCCUACAUAUUUCUUAACAUUAAAAAUAGAUAUACAAGGAAUUCAUGAAUGGAUGCAAUGUAAUAAGCUAUUCAAACUAUUUUGUAUCUAUAAAUUAAAUGGCUCAGAGUUCUAGCAGCUCUAUCAGUCAAGAAUUUUCGGUAGCAGAACUGGCAUUAAAGCUGUAUAUUAAUCAUCACUGCCAAAAAUUUCUGGAAAAAAGCAUAACUUUAAUCACAGAACAAACAGAACCCAAGAUCAAUCAAUAAAAAGAAAACUUGAUGAAUCUAAUCAAAACUUGAUGAAUCUAAUCAAAACUUGAUUUAUCUCUUUGCUUCAUUGAUUUCUCUCAGGAGAGCGAUGAAUCCAAUAUAAUAAUCGCCAACAAAUUCAAUAACAUAAAACAAUCAAAACAUGAUGAAUUCCGAAGGAUUUUUUAGAGGCAAAACCACUGACACAAAGGGCAUGAGCCCCCACGUGAACACCACCAAAAAGACUCAAUUUUUGCCUUAGUGACUAGCUUUAUUUCCACCAUAGUUCUCAAAAAACAAGCUAGAGGUAUAGAGAGGCAACAAAAAAACACAUACCCAGAUGAAAAAAAGAGAUAUUUUAAAAAAUAAGAGAUGUUGUCGUUGAUCUGACACAGAUAAGCCGUGAAAAAAGGUACAAGAGGCUAAACUACAACACUAAACGAAAGGUGUUUUAGCACGAGCAUUGGGGCUUUCUACUUCAGUGAAAUGUAACAAGUGAAGCCUAGGAGGCAUCAUUCAGAGAGAAUUUUUUUUAAAAGGUAAGUUUUUGAAAGGAUUUGUGUGAUGAAAACAGGGUUCUUGGAGGUGUGGAGCCUGCUAAUAGAAGAGAAACAGGGGUGUUAAGAAGUUAUAUAUAGGCGGUAAAGAGCUAUAAAACCCUACUUUUGUUAUUUGAGGAGGUGUUUUGUGUUUUUUGGAUAGUUCAAUUUGUUUUGGGAAUUCAGGGUAUUUAUAUUUGGGGCUUAUUUUUUAUUUUUUCAUCUCUAAUUACUGGAUAAUUUUCACGAGCAUAAAUUUCAUUUUUUUAGGUUAAAAAAUCAACAACAAAAUAAUCUAUCUUUUUCAUUCUUCCAAAAAUAGGUUUAUUAAUAAAAAAAACAAAUAUAGGGUUUAGGACUGGAUUUGGGGUCGUCCAUUUGGAAACCCAAAAUAUCAUGAAAAAUAAAAUAAAUUAUUAUAUAUUUUAUUGAUGUUAAAAAAUUAUUUUAGCUCUGUUUUUUUUUUUUGUUGAUAUAAUUAUUUUGGUUUCUGGAGUGGUUAUUCUUAAGAUUUCUCUUGGGUAUUAAAGGUAAAAUAAUUUUUGGACUAGAUUUUAUAUAUUCUAACUAAAUUUAUUUUCAAUUAGAUUUUAAAUAAAUUAUUUAUAUCGAAACUGAUGUAUAUGGUAAAAAUAUAAUAUAAACAAUCAUUGAUAGUUUAUUGCCCCUGUUAACUAAAUAAUUUGUUUUUAUUAUUGUUGACACCUUUCUUUUUUAUUUUAUUAUUGUUAUUACAACUACUGUUACUAACAACAAGAUCAAGAAUUAAGGGGAAAUCACUUGCUUGCACUGUUUAUGUAAACAAUAUAAGCAUGUACCUCUUCUUCUUCUUCUUCUUCUUUUAAUUUAAAUUUCAUUACUCAAUGAUGCAUUGCUUUUAAAUUGUUCCUUAUAAUUUAUUUUGGUUUGUUUUCUAUAAAGUUAUUACAUUCUUAAACAAAUGAGCCGAUAUUUAAUUAGUGCUCAAUUUUAUGAGUGCCUAAUUUUAUUAUCAUAAAAUUAGGUAAGAAAUAAUUUCAAAAAACAAAGUUAUUAAACUCAAUAAAGUCCAUAACUUAGGUUGUAGGUUUAACUGGUUAAGCUACAAAGCUCAAAAUAUUAUCGUCUUAAUAUUAAAAAAUAUAUAUCAUAUUGAAAAUUUAAAUUAAAUAUUAAAGAUGAAAUCACCAACAAAAUAAUUAAAAAUAUUAAUAUUUAAUUAUCUGUUUGUAAAAUUAUCAAUAAAAUGCCCCAAUAAAAAGACUAGAAUCCCUCAUUUCACAGUAGACGGGCCUUUUUUUUUUCUUUUUUCUUCUUCUUAUAUAAAAACGUUUUGUAGCAAAUUUUGAUAUGAUUAUAUACAAUGAUGAAUUUAUAUUUCAAUAGCCUGGAUUUAUGAUUUAAAGAAAGCAUCCAUCAACGUGAAUAAAUCCUUACGUGCAUCUCAUGUGAAGACAAAGGUGAUCUCAAGUGCAGAUUCUCCCUAAGACAAAUAUACGAAGUACAGCUUCUUAAAGACGAUCAGACCAGAGAUGAUUUUUGUUGGUUGUAAUAUUGGAUUUCGGAACCGAACUAUGUAGAGAUGGCCAAAGACUGGCUUCCUGAGAAGUUUUCACUAAAUAUAUUAUUGUUAGUACUCACAAAAUUAAAUAAAUUCAAUUAGAGGAAAUUCUAAAAUAUAAUUUAUAUUGUUUUUUUAACUAAUAACUGGUAUAACAAUCAAACACUAAUUCGAAUUAAAAUAAAAUAAAAUCAGUGACAUUACUAAUUCUUCAUGAGAGAAUGAAAAGAACAGGAUCCGAUGGAAUCGCUAUAUAUCAUGUGAAGUUUACAAUUUCCACCACCGGUUCCGACGGUCAAGUGACAUGAGUUAAUCAUACUCUUUUAAGCAUAUUAAUUGUAAACUUUCCUUACACUUUCAUAUUACGUAAUUAUUUAUUUUUGUCAAUAUUUAUUAAUACCAGGCUGCAAAGUCAAUGCUCAGAGAGGAGAAUGAUUAACUAUGUGCACGCCCUUGCAUUAUGAAUUUGUCUAUGACGACGUCCUCUUUAACAUGGUAGAGUCUAAUUUUCUUAGAUAAUUAAUUAAUUAAUUAUCGUUGGUCUUUCCUUCAAGAUCCAACAUCCCAUUUGCAAAGUAAUUAUAUGAAAAGAAAGUCGGUCCAAUAUUAAAUUAUAUAAUAUGUUACAUGUCCAAUCAUUCCCAUUAUUUUAUCAAAUUACAUGUUCUAUUUAUAGAGAGCAUAUAGCACCUUGUUUGACAUAUUCAUACUAUCAUACACUUCAACUCAAUCGUUCUUCUCUACAAUCAAAUUCAGGCUUCAGCAGCAAAAGUUACAAUGGCGGUAAGCGUGUAUAGAUGUCGUGGAUGAAAUUAUAUAACCGUAGGUUAAUUAGUAAGAGUCUUCUAUUAAUUAAUAUUUUCUCGUAUCAUAUUACAACUUAAAGGAAAGAAUGGCACAAUUGUAUUGAAAAUUUUCGUUGUAUUUUACCCAGUCGAUCAUAGAAAUGAGAGUGCAUAUGGAUUGUGCUGGAUGCGAGAGCAAGGUGAAAAAUGCUCUGGAAAAAGUCAAAGGUAAGAAAUCACCUCCACUAAAAACUUUAUGCAAGCGAAAAUUUUCAUCUUAGUCAUUCCUUAUUUUGUCAUGAAUUAUUUUUUCUGUUCCUCUCUUUUUAAAGUUUUCUUUGGACAUAUUUUCUUGGACUAUAUCUUAAACUUUUGUAUUUAUUAUAUGUAUGCACGCACAUGCGUAGAUGACAUAGAUAUAGAUAUGGGGUUGCAAAAGGUGACGGUCACAGGAUGGGCUGACCAAAAGAAAGUUCUAAAGACAGUUCGUAAGACAGGAAGAAGGGCAGAGCUCUGGCAAUUACCUUACAAUCCACAACAUCAUAUCUAUUCUGACCACUACUACAACCAACACCAAGUUAACAGUCCACUUACUUACCAUGCUCCUCAGCCUUCCUCUUCUUACAAUUACUACAAGCAUGGAUAUGAUAGCAACGAUCAUGGUUAUUAUCAUCACCCUGUGCAUUCCUCCAUCUUUAACCACCAGACAGGAGCAGUUUUCAGCGAUGAAAACCCUCAUGGUUGUUCUUACUAUAUAUAUAUAUAUAUAUGCAUGCUACUUUGUUUUAUAUGUACUGAUUUCCUUUUCACUUUAUGUUUUGUUAAACCUUGUUCACAUGAAGCUAUAAAAUAUAGACAAGAAAUGCCUUUUUUUUCCUUAUCAUUUUGCAACUUAUAAAUUGUUUUAUUCUGAUUUGUGCCCUAGACAUGGUAUUGUCUGCUGAGAAAACCGAGCUCCGUUGAUCUUUUCUUUUUACUAAACUAAAUCGCCACCAAUUGCAAUUUAAAACUCUGAUCUACAUUAAUAUCAUUCGGAUAGGAUUAAUUAGGAUGUACUCCUCCAUAAACUCUAAUAAAUCUUCUCCAAAGAAGAGAUGCCUUGGAAUGUUUUAGAAAGGGGAUAAUAUUCUCAUAUUCGCACCCAACUUAUUCGCUAUUACCCUUUCUCAGUUGUGUCCCUAACCUACAUAUUUAAGCAAUUGAGUCCAAAAAGUAUCUAGGAAUUAUCAAUCUGAUCCUUUCAUCCUCAAAUAUAAUUUGAAGUUAUCUUUAGGUGUGGACUUAAAUGAGAAAAUUCUUAAACAAUUUUUUUAUGGACAAAUCCAAUUGAGAAUUCUGGGACUAGUUGGUUGAAAAUUAUAACUAGGUUGAGAACAAAAUUUGGAAAACAAUUAGAGAUAGGGGACUAAUAUUAUGUUACCCAAGAACCUCAUAAAAAUUAGGGAUGAAAACGUCAUCACUCAACAGAUAUCAGGAAUACUCCUAUCUAAUUGAGAUUGAGAUGGGUUUUAACCCAGUUUGACUAGGAUCCAACCUAUUGUGGAUAUAUAUAACUUCUCUCAUUUUUAUUUUUAAGCAUACAAAUGUGUGGUUUUGCCCAUUUAAUACCCAAAUUGUUUUUUUUAUAUUUCCUUAUAAAUAUUCUAAGAAUUUUUGUGAUUAAUAGUUUUCAAUUUUUUAUUUCCUUAAUAUUAUGAAAAAAUAUAUGGUUUUUAAAAAUUAAUUUUCAAAAUUCUUUAAACUUUUCGAAUAUUUUUCUUAAAUAAGAAGUUUCCAUAACUUUUUUUUUAUUAUUAUUCCUUAAAUUCAUUUCAUGCACUGUUAAAAAAAAAACAUUACAUAGUGUCGUUUUAAACGGCAUUGUAUAUCUUCUUCUUCCAUAUGAACGUAGAGACAAAGAAGAAGAAGGAUUUUGAAUGUUUUUUCCGCCUCUCUCUCUCUCUCCCCCGCUUGCACAAACCUGACAAAACACAUACUCAUAUGCCCAUGCCACCAUAAUAAGAAAGAAAGACAACCCAUACCCCGGUCACCAUGUCCUGCACUCACCACGCCCUGCAUUUGGACAAGGUAUGGUGACUCUCUCCCUUGGCCUCCUACAAAUACAGGGGGAGAUUUGAGAGAAAGGGGGGAGAAAAAUUGUUCUGGGAGAAUAGUAUAGAAGAAAGGAAAUAGAAAGACAGUUUGAGAAAGGGCUGGGGAAUUGUUUGUGGGAAAUAAGGAUAAAGUAAAGACAAAGAGGAGACUAAAAGAAGAACAAAAGGAAACAUAAGAAAAUAGAGGAGAAGAACAUAAGGAAAAUACGCAGAGAAGAAGAAGAACCGACCACCAAAGAAGCAACUCUCCAGUCAGCAACCACCAACAUCACCGCCACAAAGCCACCACAUGUCCGCCCCUUUUCCUUCUUCCUCCUUCUCCUCUUCAUCUUCGAUGGUUUCCUUCAUUAUUCACUAAGUGAAUUAAUUUUCUCUUCAUUGUUAAGGUGAGAGUACUCCUGUUCAUUGGGCUGGACAAGUCCGACCCGGCCCAAUCCAAUUUUUUUUAUUAUAAAAAUACUUUUAUUGUUUUUUUAUUUUCCCGCGUAUUUUUCUACCUAUUUGAUUAUUAUCGGUUUGUAUUUUUAUAUCAUAAAGAUACAAAUUCGAUAUUAAAAUACUCGAUUUUCAUCGAAACAUCUCAAAAAAUUAUAAACAAUAAUAAAAAUAUAUUGUUUUCAUGCAUACGACGAAGUCUUUCAAAAAAAAAAUCAUAUUGUAUUUUCAUACAUCAAAAAUUCAAAAAUAUGUUUUAGCAUGCAUUUCGGCUUUCAUAACUAGUUUAUUAAAGUCAUGAGAACUAGGCGAAUAUUUAAAAAAUUCCAAAAAAAUCAAUUUGUUUUCUUUCAAUAUUAAGGAUUACGAGCUCAUACGUAAAACGAAUCCCUGAUAUUAAAAAGCUAGUUUUUUUUUAUUGAUUUUAGAAUGAUUAUGUUUGACCCAAUAAGAUAAUGAUCUUCUUACUGAGAAUGACCUUUUUAAAACCAUAGACGGACCAACAAUUAGACCUUAGCAUAUAUCUCCUUGUUGAUAUCUUUCCUUUACGCAACCAAUCUCUGUGUUCGAUCUCUGAGACCAGUUAGGGUUCCUAGUGACCAAAAUACUAGGUGACGACUCUUAUUCCCUCUUUCCACUGAUAAAAGAUAAGAAUUCAUUGUCUUUUCUAUUUUUCCAAUUACCUAGACAAACCUAUCAAAGUGGAAGACCCGUCACGAUGCCGCAUACGUGCAACAAUUUCAUUUGGUCAUUGAAUCUUUGUAAAGGAAUGAUAAUGGGUAUUCACGGGUUAGGUUUUUGUAUUAUCUAUACUUGAAUUCAAACCCAAAACAUUAUCAAUGUCUGACUCAAAACUUGACGAGUGUAAAUUUUGAAUAUCAAAAUCUAAUGCAAUUAAUCAGGUUUUAGUUAUUGAUUCAAAUACUUUAUAUUACCUAAAUGAUACAGUAAGGUUUGUGAAAACUAAAAAUUUUAAUAAUCUACAUGAGGGUUUGUCACAUACAGACUAUUUGAAUGACUUAACACAUGUUUUUAUAAACUAGUACUGAAAUAGGACUAAGUUUAAAAUGAUGUGUGGUCAUGCUAUAUUAGAAUAGUGACUUUAAACAAAGAUAACAAGUUUACAUUUGGUUGAGAUUAACUUUUUAUAAGAGAUUCUAAAAGUUGUUUUUUUUUUUUUAGGGAAGCUAUUCUGUCAUUUAUUAGACUACUAGAUCUUUUAAAAUUUGGCCUAAAAGUUGCUAUUUAGGUCUAAUUAUUUUUUGAUUGGUUAGGUUUUUUGGUUAAAAAAUAAAUAAAUAUUUUUUUUUAAAUCACGAUUGAACUAAAAUAGAAAUCAGUUCAAACCAACUAGUUUUGGUUUGGUAUAAAUUUGUUUUUUAAAACAAAAACUGGCAAAACCUGUUUUGCUCUUUCUGAGUUUUUAUGGGAUUUUACUGAAUUUUUAUAGGUUUUUUUCUAACUUCUUUGUUUAGUUUCAUGGGUUUUUUUAAAAAAUUUAUAUAUCUAGCUAAUUUGAGCCCAAGUUUAUUAACAAUGCAUUCAAGGAGAAAAGUGAAUCCAAUAAUUUUAUUGAAAGCAAAAUACUCACUACCAAUCAAUAAAUCAUCUGCGCGCAACAAUUAUUUAUUGAACUAUGCUGGAUUGGUUUGGUUUUUUUUUUUUGAAUUGACAAUCACCACACACACACACGCAUGGACAAAAGAUCUGUAGCCAUUGAUUAACUAUAAGCGUCAAAUACAUGGACAAAAGAUCUGAAAUUCUUUGAACAGAAAAGCUGGAAUUUAUGCAGUGACAGUGAUAGAAAAUCAAGUAAUUAUGCACAAUUAUCCUAUUUGCAGUCAAUGCAUCUAAUUCCGACUUGCUUUUUUUAUUUUAUUUUAUCCUUAAUCAAUUAUUCUUCUUUUUUUUUCAAUUUCAUUCUAUUCACAUAAUUUUAACAGGGUUUGGUUUGCUUGUGGUGCUGUAUUCAUGAUAUAAGAAAAAUACCAUGGCAUUAAAUUGAUCAUUAAUUUUAUAAAACUUAAUUUAAUUUUAUCAAUUCAAAAAAAUAUAUACAGUGCCGACCAAGUUUCACACAAACAAAAAAAUCCAUUUUUUCUUUUUUAUUGUUUAUGAAGAAUGGAAAAUUAUAGUUUAUUCCCAAAGUUUUUUUUUCAGUUUUAGUCCCUAUAUAUGUUUUCUAAGGUUUCAUGUUAGGAUUUCAAUAGUUAUUAUAAUUUGAAAGGAAAGAGAAAGUUAAAAAAAAAAGUAAAUAUAAAAUAUUUGACCAUCCAUAUUUUGACAUAAAAAAAAACUGAUUUUAUUAGUAACAUAACACCCCUAGUAGCUGUAUAGCGUCUGUUUAUAAGUGUUGAUUAGUUACAACUAUCAUUUCUAUCAUUUCUAGCUAGCACCCGUGCAGCGCCUCGUCAACAUCCCAGGAAGACAGCAAGCGUGCCUGCCUGCACUCACUUUCGGGCCUAAAGGCCCAGGGAUUUUAUUUUUUUUAUCAAAAUCUUUAAACAUUUAGAUAAUUCAUAUAAUAUUACAAUACUUAAAAAGGAACGUAUUGCAAAAAGGAACGUAUUGCAAUUAUAAUAAAAGUUAAACGCGGUAGAGAAAUCAUGGUAAAACGGAACGUAUUGCAAUUAUAAUAAAUUUUUUACUAUCUUUUUUUUUGUGUCAAAUUAACUUAAUUUGAUCAUACCCAAACUUCUUGGAUCUGGAUUGGCCACACUAAAAUAUUUUAGGUUUAGCAUGAUUGCUAGACUUAAGUCUCUCAAAUCUGACAUGAUUGUCAGAUCCAAUUGUUGCACGUGUGUGGCGUUAUGGCGAUCACCCACCACCCCCACCAUCAUCAGGUGUGGUAUGUUUAUUUAUUCCGGCAAAUAUGAAAAAACAAGGAAUUCUUUGUCUCUUACCAAUAAAAAAUAGAAUGGGAAUCGCCACCUAGUAUUUUGAUUACUAGGAACCCUAACUGGUCUCAGAGAUUGGAUACAGAAACUAGUUGCAUAAAGGAAAGGUAUUAGCACCCCAAAUACGCCCUACCUAAGGUAAGUUGUAUUGUUUUAUUGUCUGAUAAAAAAUUUAAAGUCUUGUCAUGUUGGUCUGUCUAUGGUUUAAGAAAAGUCCUUCUUAGUAAGGAGGUUCUUAUCUUAUGGGGAAAAACCUAAUCAGUCUAAGGUCUAUAACAGAAAUAUCUUUUUAAUAUCAAGAAUACGUUUUACGUAUAAAUUUGUAAUCCCAGAUAUUAAAAGAAAACAAAAUAGUUUUUUGAUUUUUUUUUUAAAUAUUGGCCAAGUUCUCAUAACUUUAAUAAACUAGUUAUUAAAGCUAAAAUGCAUGCUAAAAUAUAAUAUAUAUUUUUUGAAGUUUUCUAUUUUUGUAUAAAAAUACAAUAUGAUUUUUUUUCUUUUUUAACUUUAAGAGACUCGGCUAUAUGCACAAAAAUAAAAUAAAAAAACUUUAUAUAUAUAUUCAGAGUUUUGACGAAAACUAGGUAUUUUAAUAUUGGAUUUGUAUUUUAAAAAAAAUACAGAUCGAUGUCAAUCAAAAUGACGUAAAACAAAUACGCGGGGAAAUCACAAUUUCUUUAAAAAUAUAUAUUUUUCUUUUAUUAAAAAACAAAAAAAAUAAAAUUUCUGAUGUUCCAGCAUUAAAAAAUGACCUGAAAUGGUGACCGGCUGUUCUCAUUGGUUGUUUUCGUCAACCUUUUUUCUUUUUCUAACAAAUUUAUUGCUGCCUCUGAAACCAACAAAACAAGGAAUAAAAGUUCUCCUUCAUGAACAACAGAAAUUUCACUUAUGCCCCGUUUAAUAAUUUCUUUUUAGAAAACUGGUUUCUUGAAAAAUAAUUUUCUAAAAAAUAAAUUAUUUUUCAAUGUUUGGUAGCAUCAUAAAAAAUAAGUUAGAAAAUAUUUUCUAGUAUUUGACUAUGUCAUGGAAAAUAAGCUGUAAAAAAAAUUAUUAAUAUAUUUUUUUCAAGUUUAUUAAAAUAAUGAGAACAAAAUCUUACAAAAUAAAAAGUUGAAUAAGAAUAAAAUUAAAAAAAAAAUCUAAUUUCAUAAAUGAUCUCACAUAAAAUAAAUAACAAUCAAGAUAGUAAAAAUCAAAUCUAACUAAUAAAAUAGUUGAAAAAUAAUGAAAUUAAAAAUAUUAUAAUUUCAUAAAUUAUUUCAAAUAAAAUAAAUAACAAUAAAAAAUAAGGAUCAAAUUUUAUAGAUAAAAAAAUUAAAUUAAUGAUAAGAAAAAAAAAAUAUAAAAAUAAGGACCAAAAUUGAUAUAAAAAUCAAUUUAAAUCAAAUUAUAAUGGAUAAAAUUUUAAAAAUAAAAUUCAAAAUAAAAUAUAUAACAACCAAAAACUUAUAAUUUGUUUUUCUUUCAAAAAGCUAAUUAUGAAGCAAACACGGAUAUAUAAAACCAAAUAUACGUGGAUUUUAAAUUAUAGUUUACACUAUUAUAUAUAAAUUAUUUAAUUCUCCAGACUUAAGCACAAAAUCCUACCAUAAUCUCCAACUAGAGCAGUUGGACCAUUAGGGCCGUCGUGAUCUCGCACCCUGAUUGCCGCGUGUAGAGCAGUUCUACCAUUAGGGCCGCCGUAGUCCACUGAGAUGCAAUUUCGUAAGAUUGCAGCGAUCACGUUUUCUCCAUGAACAUGGGUCCUCUUUAAUCAAUAAUCCCACCACAUGGCUCUGGUUAUUUCGAGCUGCCUCAUGCAUCGCUGUAACUCGCUCUUCAUUGGUCAUCCUCAACAUCUUUUUGGCUUCUGUUACUUCGCUCUCUGGAUCUGUAGGUAGAGCUGUUGCGCGGUCAAUGAGGACUCUUACCACUUUGAAAUGACCAUAUCUUGAUGCCAAAUGGAGUGGGAUUUCACCUCUCUUAUUGGCUUGGAAUAAGUGGUGGAAACAAUUCCUAAUUGAUUUGAACUUUGCAAUCAAUUUCUUGUUUACCCACCUGUGUUGUUUCUUUUCCUCUAUCCGAUUGGCGGUUGCAGUAAAUGGUCUAGGCACAGAGAGUUUUUAGACGACAGCAGAGGUCCUGAACUACAGUAAAGUUCUGCAGUCUCUACAGAGCCAUUUUUUAUACGAAUGUGAUAAAUAAAAAUAAAAUUUUUAAUUAGAAUAUCCAUGUUUAAUAUGCAGUACGAUUGUGAUAAAGUCCAUCACGGACUCGAGAGUCCAGAACAUAACAUGGGAAUUAUGAUAAAGAACAAAAAAAAAAACCCGUGAAAAUAAAGACAACAGUGACAAAACAGCCCAAAGACACAAUUACAUGGGAAUUAUGUCUAUCACAACUGGCUUGUAACUCGUAAGACUGUGAGCCUUGGGUUUGGUUAAGGCGGAUAUGUGGCAAAUACAUAUUCCCGGUUCAACUAUGAGAACCAUUGUUAGGCAAACAUAAAAAAUCAAUUAAUGGGUUUUAUGUUCGAGUUUUAUAGUUGUUAAUAUAAUAAUUAUUGAAGACUUACAUGAUUAUUAAUUUUAAAACCCGUAAGAUUAAUUAAAAUAUAUACAAACUGACCUGUACAUUAAUAAAAAAAAAAUCAAUUAGCUAAUUUGUUUAUAAAAAACAAAUAUAAACUUUGGUACAAGGACCACAUGCAAUCGACUUUACUCUUGCGUUUAACAGUAAAAACAUCAUUAAACCCGCAGAAACCUAUGACAAAAAACCAAAUUGUUUUAGCCUUUUUUGGAAGAAUGAAACUUGGCAUAUCCUGCUUUUCAUAGAAGUUAUCUUACAAUUUUUUGAGAUUAUAGAAAUAAUGUUUUUAAAAAUAUUUUUUUAUUUAAAAAUAUAUUAAAAUAAAUUUUUUAUUUUUAUUUUUAAAAAAUAAAAAUAAUAUCAGAGUUUUUGACUACUUAAUUUGUGAUGUCUCAUCAAUUACAAAAUAAAAUAUAAAAAAUUGAUAAUUGAUUUGGGAACCAAAAACAUGAUUUCUGAACAUAUGACAUCAUAAUUGUUUUUCAAAAACAAUAAGAAUUUUUUAAAAAAAUACAUGAGAGUUUAAUUUGAUAGAAAAUUUAGAAUUGAUUGUUUCACUAGUAAAUCUAAUCUCGUAAAUCCUUUUAAAUGAUCCUUAAACACUAAAUACACAAGGAAAAAGAAGCUCAAACCAAUAAGAAAAAUGCUGAUGAUAAUAAUCAUUAUCUCCAUGCCAAUCAUAGUAAACAAUGUGGCAAACCCAAAUAAUAUCUCAGUGGUAUCCUCACUUGUAUCUUUAUUUUUGUUCAUUUUUAAAUUUUUAGAGGGUGUUUGACACUGUUUUUUAAAAGUAUUUUACAAAAAAAUUGAUUAUUUUUUUCUUUAAAUUAAUAUGUUUUUUAUUUUUUUCAAAUCAUUUUGAUGUGCUAAUUUCAAAAAUAAUUUAAAAAAAAUUAAAAAAAAAACAUUAUUAGCAUACUUUUCUAAGUAAAAAGUAUUUUGAAAAGUAAUAAUUAUCAUACUCCCAAACACAUCUAAAUAGAUAAAGACAGAAAAAAUAGAGAGUAAGUACUAUUGACAUUGUAUCUGAAAUGACAAAUACUAUAAAAACAUCCUUUUUAGUUAGAAUUGCGGUGUCUUUGUCGCUCUUGUAAUCGCCAGAUAAGGUGAAUGCUGCUGCAAAUAUUACCAUUACUAUCAGCGCCACAAUUUUAAACAAGUAUAAUGAGUUUAAACUAACAGCCACUUCUACAAUAUCUCGAAAUCUCAAUAUCUACAAUUACCAAAAAAAUUUAAGAAUAAAUAAAAUAUAUUUAUUAAUUAUUUUCUUAUGAAAUAAAAUUAGUCACACUUAACAAAGACCCCCAUGACUGCAUAUAAAAUAAAAAUUGCUUAAGACUUCACUUAUUAAACACACACACACACACACAUUAAUAUGACGGCGCGCCUCGUAAACAAACAGCAUCGUCUUCAAGGUUCAAAGCAUGUAAUGGGUUUUCUUCAUUGUCAAUUCUCUGUGGCCUUGUUUAUUGAGCGAACUGGAGUACUGGGUUUUCUUCAUUUUUCCAUGGUACCAGGGAUCUUGCAUUUUUUAAUAAUUCAUUUUUUUUUUAUCCUAUUGAAUCUCUUAACUGGAGUACUCCAAUACUCAUGCUUUAUUCGAUCACAGCAUCCUUUUCCUUUUUGUUUUUCUCAUUCGUUUCUUCCAGAACAAUGCGCCGGCAGCCAAACGGUCCCCUGCCAACAUCUUCAAGGGAUUCUAGGAUCUCCUGCAAAAUAUUUUGGGUGAAAUAUCGUAGGUAAUCCAUCAUUUUUAGCUAAUUAUCAAAUAUCUUGUUUAUAUCACUCUAACAUUUAUUUUUUCUUUUUUCUCCUCUCUCUAUUAUUUUCUCUAAUUUAUACACCAUUUGCUAUACAAAGGAACAAAAAAAUGAAUAGGCAAAAAAGUGUGAUUAAUUGUAUUAAAACACCAUUUGCUAUACACUUAUACUAGAAUAGUUUUUCUCAUGUUCUUUAUAUUUCUUUUUGUACUUAUCUUCAUGUAUAUGAACUUUUCAAAUAAUUAUUCCAAUAAAAAAUUUAUAUUUUUGUUAGGAUACAUUAUAAUUUAUUAAAUAAUCAUUUCAAUUUAAGAAUUCAAGUUAUUGAAAUUCGUAACUCUUGACAACUAAAUUUUAAUAACAUAUAAAAAAAAACAAUUAAAUUCAAGAACUCAAUUACGGCAGCUCCCUCUUUUCAAUACGAAUUAGUAUAAAAACGCUUACAAGUCUAGCUAGUACUUGGAUUAAUUAGCCAAAACUACCUCCUGUCAACGGCUACUGUCAAGAAUCAACAGUCAUGCAAGAUGAUUUCCUCUGAUGUUGCAUCAUGCUGUAGUAAAAAAGCAACAGCGCCCAUUCAAGAAUCAUCAAACUUCUCUAAACCAGCUAUUCACUCCAAAAAAAAAAAAAACACAGUUCUUCAUGUUUAUGGACCCAUUUGAAAACCGGUUUAAUCCGUAUUUUUUAAAAAAUUAAAUUUAUAAUAUUUAAGUUUUUUUUUUUCUUAUCAUAAAAGACAAUAGAGAUGAAAUGCUAUCGUAAUAGGUGACAAAUGCUCAAAUGUGAAUAAAUCACUUGUCUGCCUAAUUAUUUUUUAGGACAAUAAGAAGUUUUCAAAAAACAUUUAUUGUUAAUUCCCUCAGCAUAACUUCCUAUGCAAAGGAUUCUGAAACACAGAAUAAAAGGAAAGGAUUACCAUGCUGACACUCUUUUUUUUAAAAAAAAAAAAAAUAUCUGAUACUUAGACACUUAUAUAUAUUAAAGCACCUCCCUACAUCGGACUUAAAAAGUGAAAUAAAAACACACACAUAUGUGCAAGUGUAUGCACACCUCCGCGCCCACACAUAAACUAAAUCAAUAUAAAUAUUGGAUGUACAUUCAUAAAAACAUUAUUUAGCAAAUGAAACUAAAACAUUUAUCACAAUUUAAAAAACAAUUGUGAGUAUUUUUUUUCCUUCUUUUAUAAGUAGAGAAUAUUGAUACUUUAACAAUAGUGUUGAUAUCUAAGUAUUGUAAGUAAAGAAUUUUUUUAUAUAUAUAUAAAUAGACAAUAUUGAUACUUUAACACUUAUAUAUAUAUCAAAGUAUCUCUCGUUAUACUAAUAAUUUUCAGACAUGAAAAAGUUAAUUAAACACAUUACCUGUAAUCUAAAACUUGUGAGGGAAGUACUAUGGCAAUAAUACUUUCCCCACAUUUUCCCCACAUGUUUUGUGACUCUCGAAAAUACAUUUGCUUUUGUUUUUAUUUUUUUCAAUUAAUGUUUUUUUUUAAAAUUUUUUAUCAUUUUAUAUUAAAUUUUUUAUUGGGUUAUCUCACUCUCAAGAUAUGGAUCGCGGGUACGACGAAUUAACCUAGUUGGCUGGAGUUUUAUUCCUUCUUUUUUUUUUCAAUUUUAUCAUUCAAUAUUGGUUUUAAAAAAGAAUUAGUUUUCAUGAUUUAUUUUAUUUGCUUUCUAUUAGGUUAAUUCGGUUUCAUGACCCGAGAAUAGUUUUUAAUAAAUUAAUCUCAAGUUAACUCAGGUUGUUUUUUUUUAUGUUUUUUUUAAUUGAAUUUCUUUUUAAUUUUAUCAUUGAAUAUUAGGUCGGUUGGAAAUUGGGCUUUCAUAAUUUAUUCUGAUUUCUUUUCUACUAGGAUAUCUUGGUAUCAUGAUCAGGGUUAUGGGUUUUGGUAUUUUAACCUCGGUUAAAUCAUGUUGUUAUUUUUUUAUUUUCUUUUAAGAGGUUAUCUUGAUCUCAUGUCCUUCAACAUUAUAUUUGUUUUUUUAUUGGGUUGUCCAUGUCUUAUGAUCUAAGUUGCGUGUUUGACAAAUUAAUCCAGUUGACUCAGUUUUUUAUAACUAACUUUUUUCUCAAUUUUAUCAUUUAAUAUUGUGUUUGAUUAAGAAUUAAGCUUCAUUAUUUAUUUUGAUUUGAUUUUUAUGGGAUUAUUUCAGCCUAAUGACUCGGGAAUAAUACUUAACGGGUUAACAUAUAUUAACUUAGCUCUUUUUUUUAAUUAAAUUUUUUACAAAUUUUAUCAUUUAACACUAGGUCCGAUAGAAUUGAUUAAGAAUUAAACUUUAUAAUUUGUUUUCAUUUAUUUUUUAUUAGGUUAUAUCAACCUCUAGAUUCAUAAAUUUGAUAGGUUAAUCUAACUUAAAUCAAUUUUUUUUUUUUAAGGUCAACUUAAUUUUUUUAUUUCAGUCAUGAGUUUUACUUGUAUCAUUGUUAUUUUUUCCCUCCCGUGCAGUUCAAUGGCAAGCUGGGGUUGUAUUUUUUGGGCAUGGGAUUUGCUUACAUUUUGAUCCUCCAUGCAGACUGCAGGAUGUCACUGUCACAAAAAACCAAAUUUGCUUUUUUUUUUUUUUAGCUUAUCAUAAAAGACAAUAAAAAUGAAAUGCUUUCUAUCAUAAUAGGUUAUUACCUGCCUUUUUUUUAAUGUUGUCUAUGCUCUUGAACUUGACAAAUGCUCAAAUGUGAAAUCAAUUGUUUUUUGGGACAAUAAUAGAUGAAAUGCUUUCUAUCCUAAUUGUUUUUUGGGACAAUAAGAAGUUUUCAAAAAAAAAAUAUUGUUAAUUCCCUUAGCAUAACUUCCUAGCAGGGAAAAGGAUUUUGAAACACAAAAGAAAAAGGAAAUGAAGACCAUGCUGCCACUUUUUUUUAUCUCUUUUUUUUUUUUUUGAAUAUUUAGACACUUAUCUAUAUCAAAGUAUCUCUUUACAUCAAUAUUUAUCAUACUUAAAAAGUGAAUUAAAAACACUCAUAUAUGUUCAAGCAUAUGCACGCAUCCACACACAUAAACUAAUCAACAUUUUACUUAUUAGGGAUUAAAUUUUAUAAUUUAUUUUAAUUUUUUUCGUGAGGUUAUCUUAGUCUUAUAACCUGAGUUGCAAGUUUGACAGGUUAAUUUGGGUUGUUUUUUGAAGUCCUUUUUUUAAUUGAUUUUGUUUUUAAUUUCAUUCUUUAACUUUGAGCUAAUUGAAAAUUAAGCUUCAUAAUUUGUUUUUCAUGGAGUUAUCAUAGUCUCAUAACCCAAGUCACAGAUUUGACAUAUUAACUUAAGUUGAUCCAAGUCAAUCUAAUAUAUUGUUAUCUUAAUAUGUUUUUAAAAAAUCAUCUUGAAUUAUUUUUAGUCAAAUUAUGUUUUUAUUGGUCAUUCGAGUUACUUUUGGACCUUCAAAGUCAAUCAUGUCAUAUUGAGUCAAUACCCACAUAGUUUAAAUUUUUUUUCCACUAAAAUAUACAUUAGCAACAUCUAAAUAUUUUUUUAUGUUUAAGAAAAAUUUGAUCCAACCCACGUAGCUAGCGCGGGUCAAUAAUCUAGCACACGCAAUAAACUAAAACAAUAUCUCACUAUACAUCUAUAUGCAUUCAUAAAACACUAUUAAGAGAAUCAAACUAAAAAAUUCUAUCACAAAUUGUUUUAAAAUUAUUUAUUUUCUAUUUGUAACAAACAAUUUAUUCCAAAUAAUGAAUUUUUUUAGAAAAAAUACAACUGAAUUUUAUUUGAUAGCAAAUCAAGGACUGAUUAUUUUAGUUGUAAAUCAAGUUCAUAAUAUUUAGCUUAAAUUUUAAUUUUUUUUGUUUAAUUAUUGCAAAAUUACUAUUAUUGUUAUUGUCAUUUGAAAAUAUACUUACUAUGAUAUUAAAUAUUAAUAACUAUCUAAUUAGGAAAAAUUAAUUAUUCAUAGUAAAUACAAAUUUAAUAUCAUUAUAUAUAUAUAUAAAAAUUCCAAAUUUGCGUUAUUGUGAAAAAAAUCAGAUUUUUGUGAACAUUUGUUUGUAGUAUAUGCUGGAUUAAUCAAUAUUUUAUUGAUUAAUUUAUUAAUCAAAUUCAUUAAUAUGGAAUCCUAUCAAUCUAAGAUUAUAUAAAUUAUAUAAAUGCAAUUAUUGAUUAAUUUAUAAUUUUUAUGUUUUUUUUAUAAUUUUUUUCUUUGUUUUCUUAUCAUAAAAAACACUAGAGAUGAAAAGCUUACAAAAACAUUUUAUUGUUAAUUCCCUCUUCUAAAACAUAACUUGCUUGCAAGGUAAAGGAUUUUGGAAUACAAAAGUGAAAAGGAAAGGAUGACUAUGCUAGCACUUCUUCCUUUUUUUAAUGUUUUUUUUUCUAAUACUUAGACACUACAUUAAUAGUUGUUGAACUUAAAAGGUGAAUAAAAAACACAAAUAUAUGAAAUUUCAUUUGAUAGCAAAUCUGGGAUUGAUUGUUUUAGUUUGAAAUCUUUUUCACAAAUUUUAGCUAAAAUUUAAAAAUUUUGUCUUAUUAUUAUUAUAACCCAAUUUUUUAAAACAAAUGGAUAAAAAAAUAAUUUGAGAUUUAGGUUAAGACAACACAAAUUGAAAAUUUGAGGAUUAAUAAUGAUGAAAUUAUAAAUUUGGCAGUCAAUGUGGUAGAAAAAUAGAAGAAUUAAUAAGUUUGGAGACUUAAUUAAACUUUUAUUUAAUUAAUUAAUGCAAUCAAAAGCUUAAUUGAAGAAAUACCAAAGUUUGGGGCUGAUUUGAGUCACAAUUGCAAGCAAUUAAAGUUUUAGAAUCAAAGUGAAUAGACAAUGAUACUAUGGGGGGUUAAUUGAAUUUUUCAGGAGUAAUUUUGAUUGAAUUAAAAGUUAAAGAGUCAAUUGAAGAGUGAAUUGAUUAAAUUAGAAAUCAAGUAUUGUUUUGUAAAUGGCUUUGAAAUUUAGGGGUUGAAUUGCAAUUUGAUCCAGGGGUAACAUUAAGAAAAGAAAAAAAAGAUUUUUCUUGAUUAGAAACCCAAUUGUUAAGUGUCAGAAGUUUAAGGGUUAAAUUGAAAAUAAUCAUUUCGAGUGAAAUGAUGUCGUUUUCUACCUUGUUCAUUAUCUGUUCUUCCUCUUGAAGACCAGAUCAACAAGAAACACAACUAAAAAAAAUCACGGACGACGCUGCCAAUAUCCCCACCCACACGAUGAAUAUAUAUCUAUCGCAACUGGCUUGUAACUCGUAAGAAUGUGAGCCUUGGGCUUGGUUGAGGCGGAUAUGUGGCAAAUACAUAUUCCCGGUUCAACUCUAAGAACCAUUGUAACCCAAACAUAAGAAAUCAAUUAGCAAAUGUGUUCAUAAAAAACAAAUAUAAAACUUUGGUAUAAGGACUACAUGCAAUCGACUUUUAUAAUCGGUUAAUAAGCGUUAUCAUCCUUAAAAUAAUAAUAAAAUAUAAUUUCUAAAUCUUUAUUAAAAAGCUUAAUUUCUCAAAUAUUGAGGGAUAAUCAUAUAUACGAGAAUUUAAAAAUUCUAUGUAAAUAUAUACUAUAUAUAAAAAAAACUUAAGUAUUAAUAAAUUAAUUUAUAUUUUUUUAGUUUUAAGCACUCGAAUUCUCUAUAAAUAAAAAUAGAUAAUUAAAAGCUUGUUAUUUAAUGGUAUAAAAUAAAAGAAUAAAAAAAAUACUUGAUUUCACAUCAGUCAUCCAAAUUUGACUAAUGAUUUAAGACCUAGCCAAUAUCUUAGAUUGCCCGAUUACAAGUUAAAAGGUCUCUCGCAAGAUUAUUAGAUUUUUAUGGCCUUAAAAGGCCAGAGUAAUUAGAUUAUCUUGAAAGGGCAGGGAUGAAUUUGACUUCACGUAUGAUUUCUUUUUUCUAGAGAAAUUAACAAUAAUUUAAUGAAGGACAACUUACUUGGCUUUACAUCAUCUUAUCUAUAGUCUCAGACUCUCAUGGCCAGAAAGUUGUCCUCCUCAUCCAAUAUUAAUAAUCUUAAAAUAAAAUUUAUGAAUUAAAUAUGCCAUUUUUAUUUUAAGAUUAAGAAUUCUUUAAGAAUUUGGACUCAUUUUCAAGCAAGUUAAGAAUUCUUUAAUUAAUAAUUCCUAAUUAUAAAGGGAUCUGCAUUGAUUUUUUGGAGUCAUUUUUAAUCUCUUAAAUUGUAGUAAGGUUUCUUAAUUAGGUGGCGAGAAAUCUGUCUGCAUUCGUUAUUUAUUCUAAUAAAAUAGCAUGCAAUUUAGUCUUUCUUAACCAAGUUGCAAAUUGGCUCUGAAUUUUCUAAACUUUUUGGCGCUGUCCAUCCUUCUUCAUAUUAUAAACAUUCAUAAUCACUCUAUUUUCUAUUUAACCUUUUAAAAGGACAGAAAAAAGCUCAGGCUAUCGGGCCCACAGCCUAGCAUGCAUGGCCAUUAUAAAAAAAAACUUAAGCAAGCAGGUAACCUUCAAGCCCAGCCUGGCAUGCUUGGGGUUUGUUCUAUUUUUUAAUAUGAAAAAAAAAAAUAUAAACGUUGUCUACCAAUCUAGAUUACAGCCACUAAAAUAGUAACCGGAAAAUCAAGAUAGCGUCUUUUUUGGUAAAAAAACUACACCUUAUCAACAUCAAGGCAACGUCUUUUUUGGUUUUUUUAAAAAAUUACCUCUAUUUUUAAGACAUUAUAACCCCAAAACACUUACAAACAUCUUUAUAGCACCCGAAAAUUAUUUCAUCAACUUCAAAUACCCAAAAAAAUAGCCCAAAAAUCUGAAAUCAAAUCGGUUUAGUUUUGGUUUUCUUGAUUUAGAUCUGGAUUUUUAUGCAACAUUAAAGCUCUAAACAAUCAUCAUGAAACUCCUCUCAUAUUUGAGAACCCGUGGACACCAAUAAAAUCCAUUUUGGUGGUCGAAAAUGAAGUGAACAAUGGCUUUAUCUCUUAUCAUUAGAAUCUAGCAACACUUAUCUCUCUCUUCUCUGUAACCUUAGAUUGAAAAAUAAUACAAAUAAAGUUGUGUAUCAAAACUAAUUUUUUAAAAAUUUCAAAAGACCUGAAUUCUAUGAAUAAUGUUAUUUUUAAAGAUCAAAGACCUAAGUAUAUUUUGCUUGAAGUCUCUGGUACAUCAUUCAUGUUUGAUGUCUUUUUUUAUUUUAAUCCUCAUUCUUUCAAUUUCACUCUUGAUUAAUUAUAUAAAAUAAAAUUUUGAGAAUCGAAAUAAAUUAUUAUAAAAAAGAAUUCAUAAUGUUUCGUGAAUAUAUGAACAAUACCCAAAUAUAAUAAUAAUAAAAACAAACCACACGGCUUUGCAGUUUGUUAUAAAUCCAUCAUUUAGACUCGAAUUAAAACCUCACAGGAGGACAGAUUCAUUUCGGCAUGCACACCAAAAUGGAAUUUCAACGAGAGAGAUAUAUACAGAUGGUUUUUUCUUAUUGGGCAUGUGCAGUGGAUUUACACAUCAUUUAUACGAGUAAUGUGUCGCUGCGAAAACUUGACAGCAUUCAGGAUAUCACUAGCUAUUUAUUUAAUGUGUUUCUUAUAUUUUAUUAAAAUCUUCAAAGUAAAAUUUUUAAAAAAUAUAUAUAUGAUUAUGAUUUAAAAAAACUACCCCAAGGUGGUAGUCUAGCCGUAUAUCAACUAGGGGCUUGGGGUUUGCUUCUUCAGAACUCUGGUACUAGAAAAGUUAUCCUUCAUGAACAACAGUGUUUUCACAAGCUGCUGAUUUCUUCGGUUUUUAAAGGAAGAAAAAGCGUUAAUAACCACAAAUUACAUUUAUUUUCCUUUUUGAUAUUUUGUUGCAAUAUCUUUUCUUUUGCCCUGCUGGAAAGUUAUAUCUGUUUUUAUCAGAACAAUAAAAAAAAUAAAAAAUAAAUUGUUUGGCCCAUCCAUCCUUAUAAUUGAGCUUGGACUCGUCCAUAUGUAUCCACGUCACUUUUGUCACUGGAGUCAACCAAUUGCCUCCUUGGUUCCCUCGAAUAUACCGUAUGCAGGUGCUGUUUAUAACAAGCAAAUUCUAUCCUCCCGUACAGUUCAACGGCAAGCUGGGGUUGUGUUUUUGGGCAUGGGAUUUGCUUACAUUUUGAUCCUCCAUGCAGACUGCAAGAUGUCCCUUGGUGAAGCUGCUAAUAUUCAUACUUCGUUAAAAAACUACAAAUUACAUUACAAACAACAUUGUAGUAAUCAAUAUUUAGAAAUAGUGCUUUCUGAAUUUCCAGAUCUCAAUUUUAUUAUAUUCCAUAUUACCUGUAGAAUAAAAAAAAUACCAAAAAAUUCAUUAAAAGCACGUUUUAACCACGAAAACAACUCAUUCUUGAAAGGGUGAUGUUGCUUUUUUACUGCAUGGAGAAUAUAUCUGAAUUAGAGAUUUCAUAGCAAUACUCUGCUUUACAGAUUCCUUGUUUAGCAAGAAUAUCUGCACAGUGAUUAAUCUCCCUUGGUGUACGUACGAGUGAAGGAUACUGGACCCAACAGUCAUUUCGGGUGAAAACGGUGUUGUUUUCAACACACACUAUUCAUUAUCUCUUCAUCCUGAAGACCGGAACAACAGGAUCGAAACACAACCAAAAAAAUCAUGGACCACGCUGCCAAUAUCCGGCCCCACCCACACGAUGACUCUCAAAGUCAGAAGGAACGAACAGACAGAAAGACGAAGAAGAAGAGGCACAGAACAGAAGGCGAGAGAACAGGACGAACAACACAAGAAUACCAGGAGACAAAUACAGAGAAAGAACAGGCGACCCAAGAAAGUGAAAGGCGAGAAGAAGCAGAGGAGAGAGUUUCUUUUCGGCAAGCAACCUCACGCCUUCAUCGCCAUCAUCCUCGACUUGCAGCGACCAGGUAAGUUCUUCAUUUCCCUCUCCUUUACAAUUAUAAUUGCAUAGGUACUGUUCUUAUGCAGUUUUAAUUCAAUCUUGCGACUUCAGCAAUUAUAAUCCAGUGGCUGGGUGUGCACCCGUGCCUUAUCCUUUUAUUUUCACCCUCAAUGUUUUUAAAACUCUUUUUUUACUCUAAAUGAAAAAAAAUAAAAAAAAUAAACUCUAAAUGAAAAAAAUAAUAUAAACUUGAAUUGUAAAAUUAUAAAAGUGCAAUUAAUUUUUUUAAAAUAAUUAUAUAUUGAAAAUUCUAAUCAUGAAAUUAAAUUAUAUAAAAAUUUGAUAAAUUAAGUCAACAAUAUUAUAAUCAAUGAAUGAUUUAAAUAAAAUGAGAGAGACAAAUAGUAUGAAUCAAUAAAUUAAUGAUAUUUUAAAAUAAAAAGUUUCAAAAACAAAACUUUUCAAUACAUGAAUGAUAGGAAGUAUACAUGAAUCUAGUGAUAACUUGGUUGUUUUUCAUCUCAAUAAGUCCUAAUAGACCUCUUUUGGAUUGCAAGCUAAUGAACUUAAAGUAGUUAUUAGCUAAUAAACAAUGUCUAAUGCACUAGAAAAAAAUUCAAAUUCAAAAUUAAAUAAAUAAAUAAAUAAUAAAAAAAGUCUUCACGUUAAAAUUCCUCAAUGUAUUUGCGAAUAUCUAAUUUUUGCAUAUAUCUUGGCAGAUUUGAGUUCUGAUUUCAAACAUGUCGUUCUUUCUCGUGUUGAUGAAUUACUGAGCGUACGAUAUAUGGUUAUAAAGCUUUAGAUGUCUAGUUUCCAACCCAACUUUAAUCGUAGCAAAAUUUCACUAGUAGCUUUAGAUAUAUCUCAAACAAUAUAUAAAGGUCUAGCUUGACAUAUUUGAUAAGAUUCAUCUACUAACUAUGACCCUCUAAAAUAUUAUGUUCUCAAACUCUAUUUGACUUGAAAAUUUACCAUAAUAUAUUUUCAUGUGUCUAAUAUUUUCCUGUAAAAUUUUAGCUCUAUCAAAUAUAUAGUGUGAAAGAUAUGUUCAAUCUCUCAAAUCUGGUCAGUAGACAUUUUAAAACCAAAUUUAGAUCUGACUUGGUUCAUAUCAUAAAUUUAGUAAACUCGUAAAAUCAAACUGAGUUUACCGAGUUUACUAAUUUUACUGUUUUUGCACAAGUUAAAUUUGACUUUGCAAGUUAGAUACAUGUUGACUCAUAUAAUUGUAAGUUACUGGAUUUUAACAACAAUGUUCACCCUUCUUUAUUUUAAUAUCUAGUCAAACAGGUCUUUUUUGAUAUCAUAAAAUUCCAAAAAAAAUUGUGGAUCUUUUUGAAUUUAUUUAUAGGUCCCUUGUAUUUUUUUAAGUAUUUCACUAUAUUAUUAAUAUGUGAAUUUUUACUAUAAAAUGUAAAUCCGUUAUAUGAUAUAUUUAAAAAAUAUAUAUAUUUUUAGAAUUUUUAAAGUUCAUGACAUUGUGGGUGUGAUAAUUAUUAUUAUUAUUGAAAAAGAUGAUGAUUCUAUGAUAUUAAUUACUAAUUAAUAACUAUCCAAUUAGGUAAAUUGAUUAUUCCAUACUAAAUAAAAUUUUAUCUUUGUUUUUCUCAACAAAUAUGUGACCUAUAUAAACCUACGACAAAUAAUAUCAAUUGAUGGUAAGCUUCCACAUCUAAUUAUAUAAUAUAUAGGUUUUGAAGAGAUAGGGUGAAGGCUACAGUAAAUGUUACCGUUGCUAUCAGCGCUGAUAACUAUACGGGACUCUGUUGCUUUACUCAAAGCAUCCUCUUCCCCUUUGUUUCUCCCAUCACUUCCUCUUUUGUGAGAUGCCAAGGAAGUAGGAACAAUGCAUAUACCCUUUCUGCUUAUAAUUAUUAACUAGUCCAAAGUUUGGUAUUUUUCCAUAAAUAUCAUCAGAAAAAAAAAUAAAAAAAUAAAAAACAAAGAAAAAUCAAAAGAAUAUAUUUUUGAUAUAUUUACAUUGUUUUAAUAUUUUCAAUAUCAUCUCAAAAAAAUUUAAAUUUUAAAUGUAUUUUGAAUACGUUUAACUUUUAACACGUAAAUUUUGUGAUCAUUGAUUUUUAUUGUUGAGUCAAUGUUUAUAUUACUUAUUUUUUUAAAUAUAAAAAAUUAAAAUUAAAAGAAAAAUAGAAAAAAAAAAGUUAAGAAACUAAUUUGAAAAUAUAACAAUAUUUUACCUUUAAAUACUAGCCUACAGUAAAGUAAAAAAAAAAAAAAAGGAGAAAAAAUGAAUUCAGGGGAGAAAAAUUCAGAGGCAUGGAGGCGGAGCAAAUUUUGGGGGGAAAGAAAAAACCUAACCUAAAAUUUAUCUACAGGCAAGCCGCCGUCCGACGCCCUUUCAGCUUUUAGUUUUUUUGGUCCCAGAACCAGCAAAAAGCUUGGCUCGCCAUCUUCCCUGAAACCGGAGAGAAACCCCACACAAAUACACUCCUUGGUCUCUGCCAUUUUCGGCACCUUCCCCUUUCCCAUUCCAGCCUUCCCAAAUCAACCAUCCUCUUCACCUGCUCUCGGUGAUCAGCUUCCCUUUAGCCCUCUGUCAAAGCAAGCCACAGUCGGCCUUCCAUCAUCAACUUUUGCCCUUUGGUUUCUUUUUCUUCCAGCAGCGAUGGCCCCCUCCCCGUGCAGCGGCGCCGUGUUCCUCUAGCAGCAGCCCACACACGACAGCGUCCGGGCAACGCUCUCUUCUCCAUGUUCUGCAACCGGCCUCCAGCAACAGCCAAGCCCGGCAGAAUCCACCUUGGUCUAGCACAGCAACCUCCACCCUCACCGCGGAGCCGUCAGCCGUCAUGAAGAGGAAAAACUAAACUCAGAUCUGGAAAAGAAAGGAGACUGGGAACAGAUGAAAGAAAAGGAAAAGAACAGACCCGAAAGAAGCAGAUCUGAAGAAGGAGAAGAAAAAAAACAGAUCCGUGAAGAAGUAAAGAAAAUUAAAAACAACUGCUUGUGUUUUGCUUUCUGCAGGUGACGGUGGGUGUCACCGCCUACAGGAGAAGGAAAAAGGGACGAAGCUGGUACAGACCCCCUGUUACCCGGGUUGUCUUCGCGGCGGCGGCGCCAGUGGCAAGGCGCGUGUGGGUGACGCUCCGCACUGUUCAAAUGCCCAGAAACCUUCCAGCCAUUGCAGAAGGCCUUAGAUUUUUGGGUUUUAUUUUGUAAUUUGUGAAUUGUAUUUGAUUUAUUAUGAGUUUUGUUUUUUUUUUUUUUUUUUUAUAUAUAUGUAAAAGAUGGUGUAUAAGAAAAUCAUAAUAAAAAAGAGUU
This 66766-nucleotide long non-coding RNA is filed under the name Populus tremula. Its description in RNAcentral is "long non-coding RNA (PTRE_LNC001606)". The record is from RNAcentral. Lineage: Eukaryota; Viridiplantae; Streptophyta; Magnoliopsida; Malpighiales; Salicaceae.